CUCGGGCCUUCCUAUAAAUUUUUUCUCAAACUCAAUAGCAGGUGUGCUCUCAUUCUUCUCUACCAACUCAAGCCACCAUGGAGACGAAUUAUUCAUAAGCCUUGCUUUGCAGCUUCUACUCCUCCUCAACAUCACAACAGAGGGGCAAAACAUUUCUUUCUCGGGCAGCCAUUGAGGUGUCCUUUCAGAAGAAGGAACUACAAAACCUUUUUGUUUAGGUAGGGGUGACUCCAAUUCCUGAUUUGUGCCAUCUCCAUUUUCAACUGUGGUCAGUCCUGAGGUAGCUGUGUUUGCGAAAGGAGACGACAUAUUUGAGUUUUGGUAUCUACUAGCACUUGAAUCUGAUAUAUUUGACACUAUAUAUCUGUUUGUGCCAGACUCUUCCAUUUCAAUGCAGCGAACUUCCUUGCAGAAAUCCUCUGAAUUUCCAUCAAACUGUUCUUUGCUUUCCUUUGAUGCAGAUUACCGUCAACAAAAUUAGGAAUGCCAUCGGAUAACUGCCGGAGAGAAUCAGUGUGCCAUGAAAUUCUCUUCCAAGUCAGGAAGUUGGAACAGAGUCUCCUCUGAACUAGUCCUACUGUCUCCAUCAGAAUACUGAGAGGUGCCAAAAGAUCUCACACUGUUGGCUCGGCCACGAGAGACGGCCCGAACAGGCGCACCUGCCAUUAUUCAUUUCAAAGUCCCAUGAAAACUUGCCCACGCAAUUUGGGGUAAUAACGUUCCAGAUCCUCCUACAAUUAUAUGAAAAGAAAUUCAACUUAGCACAGACGGAGAAAAUUGUAGUGAAAUAAAAUUCUUCAGUUUAUUUUAGUACACAUACUUCUGAUGGGUUUAUCAUCUCCAAGCACUCGCACCAGAUCCUUAACCUGAGAUUGAGCAAGGUCUCGUUGCUGAGUUAGCUCCGAUACCUCUUUUUUGAGCUGCAUAAUGAAUAAAUAAAACCAAAAGUUUUAGACAAGAAGAAGGAGCCUGAAUCAUGAAUAGGAAAAACUGUACUAUGCCUCAUACAUAUGAGAACCACGGAUCAAAGGACAAUCAAAUUGCCAUGGUUUCUAACAAGGUGAGCACAAGUGAAGAUGUUCAGAGAUUUCUGCAUGAGAGGACUCGAGAAUCAUGACCCAUGACUACAAGUAACUAGCAUCGAGAAACAUGCUUCAUCAAAUUGUGCAAAGACCAGAAAGAAAAUAUUUGUAGGUAACUGCAUAUCAAAGAGUAUAAUUCACCUCGGCUUUCCAUAGUUGGAAUAACCUGGCUUUUAAAUUUUUUCGUGAAUCCGUGAUCUUUUAAGAGGUCAGCAUAGAUACUGGCCUUUGUUAUGUGUUUCUUUGCCCAGUUUUAGAUAUGUUCGGGAUAGGUACCAAAUGCAUUUUUGAGGAUCUGACAGAUAAUAAUAGGAGCCUAUUCGUUACCUUUUCAAUUUGAAGGUCCUUUUCUCUCAGUAAUGUUGAAGAAUCAGCUGAAACAAUUUUGUGUCCUGAACCUCUCAACUCAUUCUCUAGUCUAGUCAAUUCUUUUUGCAAAUGCUUCACCAAUGCUUUAUCCGACAUGACCACGUUAACUUGUGCGCUUGUUGUCACUUCUUUAGCACAGCUCGCAAAUAAGAGGGUAUUUCUUGAUUGCUCAACAUGGCUAUGUGCAGGACUCAUGGUACAGAUGAUGGCAGUUCUAGCAUUUCCUCCCAACGAGGACUGCAGUAUGCGGGUUAGCUUUGAAUCUCUGUAAGGAACAUGCCCACUUCUUCCCUUGCUGCGUGAAACCACAGUAUUGAACAAUUUCGUAAAAAUUCUUAUUAUGCGAACUUCAUUUUACAUGAACUAAUACAAAGAAUCAAUGGGAAUAAUAAGACUCGACAUUUCAAUUGCACAAAGUAGAAUAAAUUUUUGCAAAGACCAUAACUGAGAAAAUGAAAGACAAGCUACUCAAGCUGACCUGAGCUUACGGAUAACAGUGCCUAGAGUUAGUAAACUGCGAUUUAUGUGGCAACCCUCUUUCAACCUUGCUCCAGCUGAUAACGUCUGGGACGCACGUUCACUUCCAGCAAGAUCAACAAAGUUCUGUACAGUAAAGAAUUAUAUCAUUCUGUUGUUAUCCUUUAUUCCUUUAGUCGUGAUUAUUUAUUCAUUUUUUUCUUUAAAAACUUUUAGUACUUACCACAACAGCAGUAAGGGAGCUUGAUUUGUCAUAGCCAAGAAACUCACGCGCUGAACUUUCAAUGACCUGAUAAAACCACAGCAUAUUAGACUCUUGAGGUAAUUUAACAUAAUUAUUAAGCAAGCAACUAUUUCUUAGCCAACGAAAAAACAAUGUGAUAUUAGUCGUACCAACACAACAGUUGGCUUUCUUGACCUUCCACUAAAGCCUCCUUGCCAUCCAGUGAGACAAUUCUUCCAAUCCCAAUGCAUGCAGUCUAAUGACCCUAUCAUGCCCGGACACCCACGGUCUUCAGCUUUGCGAAUUAGUCGAUUCAGAUCUUCUUGAUUUGGCUUGCGAAGGUACUCUUCUUUGUAAACCUGAACAAUUGUGUCAUAUAAUUGUUCAAGAGUAUGAAGGCAUGUAAACUCAGACAUACCAUGGGUUUCAUCCAUCGAAUUAGCUAGGGAGCCAUAGGUCAUCAUUCGGGGUGCAACAGUAACCUUCUGAUGAGAUGAAAAACCAGGACAGCCUGCUCUGUCCCGUUUCUGUCGAAAGUAUGGAUUGACCUACUAGACAUCACGAAGUAAACACUCGAAAACAUGACGCCUCAUCCAGAAGCGACGUCUGAAAUCCUUUUUUGUGUACACCGAGUUGGGGUUGAAGUAGUUGUUCAUCAGAUUGGCAUAAGACAUCGCUCUGUUUCGUAGUUUGUAAGAGCGACCAACAAGAGAGCCACCCCAUUGAGGUUGUUCCUCAGUUGGCUGACAUACCAUGGUUGUUGCUCUGUUUUGUUUGUUGCGCCUUACUUGAACUUCUUCAUCAGACUCCUCAUCUUCUCGUCUCAUUUGAGCCCAUUUUGCUUCCAAUUUGGAAUUGGAUGAGGACCCCCAGUUGGAAUACGAAGAGAUCCAAAGUUGGAAUUCAUUGCAAACUUGAAUUGAAAGAGAUUGAAUUGAAAUAGAUUGAAUUCAAAGUUGUGUGAAUUAUAGCCCAAUAUCCACCUUAUUUAUAGCAAAAAAGAAUUCAAAUCCAACGGCUAGCUGACGUCAUGCUGAAUCACUUAGCCAUUGGAUUUGAAUUUAAGUGGUAGUUUUUAAAUAAUAAAUUAUGUUUGGCCCUCAGUUGGAGACGGAGGCAAAUAUGGCAAUGUAUUGUUCAUUAAAAUAUUAAUAUCUUGGACGACCAAAGGACUAAAACGAGCCAUCUUGCCAGCCCUCGGUUAAUGAUGACCUUAGGUUGGAGAUGGUCUAAGGUACUCAGAAAAAUGUCACCUCAUAAGGCACUCGAAAUAGAAUUUUUUUUAAAGACUGUGAUAGUACCCUUUAAGCUAAUGUGAAUGUAUAAUUUUUUGUUUGACUGUGAUAGUACCCUUUAACCUAACAUGAAUAUAUAAAUAUUUUUUUUGAAAAACGAUAUUAUCUACACUAAAAGGUAGGAGAAUGGACUAACCUCACAAUGAAUUAGUAAUAAUGUGGUUCAAAAGCGAACAUGAAUAUAUAAAUUACAAACAAAAAAGAACAUAACCUGGUGUGAAUUUUAGUUCUAGUUAUUUACUGAUUUUUUGUACUUUUAUUUUUGUAUGGUAUAUGUAUAAUGGUUUCUAUGAAUAAUAUUCACAAUUCCAAGAAAUUAUAAGCCUUUGUCUCGAUAGCUAGUUUGCGUUUUGUUAUAGAAAUAAAUCAACUUGAUGUUAUUCCAAUGCCAAAAGAAUGAAAGAAAAAAAAAAACUUGUGUAGAGCUCAACUUUAUUGAUUAUCUUUGAAUUAGACUAGAGUUAUACAUAAGACUAGAAUGCAUGACAAACCUUGCGGAAUUUUGUAGGAUGUGAGUGGUCGGUUGAUCAAUCAUACCGUGCCAAUCGACUAACUACUCACAUCCUGCAGUAUUGAAUCUAGUAUUGGAGAAAACGUACAUAAAGCCAGGUUGUUUCUUUUCUUUUGUUGUACGAAUGAGAUGAGGGAUAGAAAGAGAUGAGAAAUUAAGAAUUAGUAGUAUCUGAGAAAGGUAAAAAAUGUAGCUUAGUGUUCUUUUCUUUCGAGUAUCGGUAAGGAAUUUUACUUUACAAGAAACUAGGGAAGCCUUACGCACCAUUUCUAGCCUGAUCAAAUUUACAAUCAAUUACAAUCAGAACUUUAACUCAUAAAAACAAAAAAAUUACAAUCAGAAAGCAGAUCAAAAAAAGAAAAAAUAUACAAUCAGAAGAGAGAAGUGAUAAUGGGAUACUUGUCACGGAAUCAUAACCUAUACGCGAAUGGAAAUGGACUCGAUGAAACUUCUGUACUGGGUGAUCAAUCUCGCAAGCUUACACAAUAGACUUGAAACUUUCUAACCAAAAGUGAGAUUUCCGCUUGGUGACAGUGUCUCGAGGUGCAAAUCUGAGACCAAACAUCUCCUUGAAUGCUUGCUCGGGCUCUACUGAACCUACCAACUUUGCAACAAUGGUGGCACUGUCCAUGAUAUGGUCCAGGUUUUGGGUGUUACUCCACAGGAGGUUUGCCGAUUGCAACCGCCUAUGCUUUGAGUGUAGACUGAUACCCCACUUUUGGUAGAGGUUAUUUCUUUCAUCCUCAGAAAGUCGCCUUCGCAUUUGCUUGCCAGCAUGUGUCUCUCACUAGUCAAAGCCUUCAUGCUAUAUACAGAAUAAAACAUCUUUUAAGUCGAUCAAUGCAGGCAAUAUAUAACAAAGUAAAAACAUAUCACCAGUAUCUGCAACCUUCUAUUCUAGAUCGGUGAUAAUGAACGUACCUUGAAGCGGGUGUUAAGAGAUUGGCCAUCUUCCAAAGUCUGAUCUCCACGUGAAAAUGUGUAUUUGACGAAGGACAAUCUCCUGACCUCAACCUCCAUGUAAAUAGAAUCACUUGGGUCACCUUUAAAUAGGAGGAAGAAGUAAGUCCUGUGAACCAAUGACACGUUCCUGGCAUCCCAAAGUUCAAUUACCUCUCUUUGCAGCUUGUUGAAUUCUGAAGGCCACCUUGAAGGGUUAUCGUCAUCAAUGGGCAUUGGGUGUAAGCCAACAUCUUUUACAUCCCUUGAAGAUGGUAAGGGCUUUGAAUCCGUCUCCGGUACCGGCAACACGAGACAAUCCAUGUUAGAACCAUAAUGAGUCAGCUUGUCUACAACUUCUCUUCUUUAUGAAGCAAUAUAAUCAAAAUUACUCACCAUAGAACUAUCGGUCGUUCCUUCAACUAAAGUAAUGCUUUCAGUUAUCUUGUCAUCAGUUGUGGAUUUUGUAUCCUGUGCCUUACGCUCAUCAAUGGCAGCAUUUCUUGCAGAAGCCUGAGAAGCAUUUCUUGAUAUCCUUUGAGUCUCAGAACCAUAGGAAUGAUAGUUCGGAUAUUUGUAAAUUUGUACAACAAAAACAACAACAACAAAGCCUUUUCCCACUAAGUGGGGUCGGCUAUAUGAAUCCUAGAACGCCAUUGCACUCGGUUUUGUGUCAUGUCCUCCGUUAGAUCCAAGUACUCAAGUCUUUUCUUAAGGUCUCUUCCAAAUAGGUCUUCCUCUACCCCUUCGGCCCUGAACCUCUGUCCCGUAGUCACAUUUUCGAACCGGAGCGUCAGUAGGCCUUCUUUGCACAUGUCCAAACCACCGGAACCGAUUUUCUCUCAUAUUUCCUUCAAUUUUGGCUACUCCUCAUUUACCUCGGAUAUCCUCAUUCCCAAUCUUAUCCUUUCUCGUGUGCCCAUACAUCCCACGAAGCAUCCUCAUCUCCGCUACAACCAUUUUGUGUACGUGUUGAUGCUUCACCGCCCAACAUUCUGUGCCAUACAACAUCGCUUGGCCUUAUUGCCGUCCUAUAAAAUUUUUCCUUGAGCUUCAGUGGCCUACGACGGUCACCCAACACGCCGGAUACACUCUUACACUUCAUCCAUCCAGCAUUCUAUGAUUGAGAUCUCCAUCUAAUUCUCCGUUCUCUUGCAAAGAUAGAUCCUAGGUAGCGAAAACGGUCACUUUUUGUGAUCUUCGCUAGAUUGCUCCGGUCAUUAGUGUGGAUAAGUAUAUAAAUGGAUAGAGAUAGGAAAGAAAACAUAAGAUGUACGUGGUUCACCCAGAUUGGCUACGUCCACGGAAUGGAGGAGUUCUCAUUAAUUGUGAAGGGUUUACACAAGUACAUAGGUUCAAGCUCUCCUUUGGGGAGUACAAGUGAAUGAUUUAGUACAAAUGACAUUAGGAAAUAUUGUGGGAGAAUGAUCUCGUAACCACGAAAACUUCUAAGUACCGGAGUGUGGUAUCGUCUUGACUUUCCUUAUCUGUCUCAUAGGUAGAUGUGGCAUCUUCUCUGGAAGUACUCUUCCUCCAUCCAGGGGUGGUAUCUGUAACUGGUGGAGAUGCACAAGGUAAUGUAUCAAUGUCACUUGAAGCUUACUUGUAGUUUCAGGCUUGGUCAAGCGCGAUACAAACCAUGUAGUAGGAGUCCCCCAAGUCGCCGAGCUAGGGGAUCUGCUGAAAGAGGUAACAGACAAGGUAAGCAAUCAGAGCUCCGACUGAUUGUUCACAUUCUCCCUAUCUUGCAGGCAGCAUGAAGGAUAAAGAGAAGAAAAAUGAGAAGAGAUGAUAUGGGAUACUUUUGCUUUUGAAGAAGUAACUUUCCACAGGCUUAUUCUUGAACUGGGCUGGAGGGUUUUCUGGUUUCCUCCAGAGUAUAAGGCCGACUGAAGAAUUUGAGGGUCAAAACAAGUCCGUCAAAUCUAGAGUACGUUCGACCCUGCUGAUAUGGGAUACUUUUGCUUUUGACAGAGUAGUGGAUGUAUCGGCACGUGUGCUGUUACGCUUGUCUCCACAUGCUUCCUUGUAUCCUUCUCACUUGCCCUAUCUGUUCCUCAGGCAGAUGCGGUAUCUUCCCUGGAAGCAUAAGAUGUUGAAGAUGAGUACUCGAGAGCAAUGCCAGGUAAGUAAUCAAGUAAGGGGUUCCAGGCAGUCAGUUCCUGGCUGGAAGCUUGAUUCCAAGUGUUGACUGAUUGCUCUCUUUCUCCUUGUCUUGCAGGUAAGAACAAGGUCAAAGGAAAAGACAGGGAAAAAGCAUGAUAUGGGAUACUCUUGGUUUUAACCCUGAUGAUAUGAGAUAUUCUUGCUCUAGUAUAGCUUGUUUACAGAGGUAUUAUCGGGGGGAAAGAAAGCUGAAUAUUUCGAAAGGCUUCGUUGGGAGUGCCCUCUCAGAUAAGAGGAAGGGUUGAGCAUUUUUGCAGGUCUGCCUGUUCGUUGGGGAUGGAGGUCGACAUAUAUAGGAGUCUCCCUAACAUCAAGUAAUAAUGCUAUUCCUUUACCCUGCUUGGUCAUAGCACGGUAGUUGGAGCUGCCAGCUUCACAAGUUUUAACUCUGUCAGAGCACUUUGAAAAAGUGGUCUGUGGUAUCUGGAAAGCUGAUGUUGCGUGUGAAGAUUACAGACAAGCUUUAUCCAAUGAGAUCCGGCUCUUGAAGUUGGGAAUGUGGUGCCUCUUCGGUUUUCGAACAAGCAAUCCUGUCGGGGAUCUGGCUCUCGAGAUUCGGAGAACGAUGCCUCUUCGAUUUUUGAGAAAGCAAUCCUGCUGGGGGUCUGGCUCUCGAGAUUCGGAGAGCGGUGUCUUCGAUUUUUGAGAAAGUAAUCAUGUUGGGAGUUUGGCUCUCGAGAUUCGAAGGGCGGUGCCUCUUCGAUUUUGGAGCAAGCAAUCUUGUUGGGAGUGUUUUCUCGAAUGUGAGUAAAGGUUGGGCAUGUUUGCUAGUCUACCUUGCCACGAAGCACAGAGGUUGACACACAGGGACUUUCCAAUUAUCCAGCAGUGGUACUGUUCCUUUACCCUCUCUUCGAUUUUUGAGAAAGUAAUCAUGUUAGGAGUCUGGCUCUCGAGAUUCGGAGGGCGGUGCCUCUUCGAUUUUGGAGCAAGCAAUCUUGUUGGGGGUGUUUUCUCGAAUGUGAGUAAAGGUUGGGCAUGUUUGCUAGUCUACCUUGCCACGAAGCACAGAGGUUGACACACAGGGACUUUCCAAUUAUCCAGCAGUGGUACUGUUCCUUUACCCUCUCUUCGAUUUUUGAGAAAGUAAUCAUGUUGGGAGUCUGGAUCUCGAGAUUCGGAGGGCGAUGCCUCUUCGAUUUUGGUGCAAGCAAUCUUGUUGGGAGUGUUUUCUCGAAUGUGAGUAAAGGUUGGGCAUGUUUGCUAGUCUACCUUGCCACGAAGCACAGAGGUUGACACACCGGGACUUUCCAAUUAUCCAGCAGUGGUACUGUUCCUUUACCCUUGUGGGUAAUAAUAUGGUAGCUAGGCCUUCAAAAUUUAUGUGUCUACACUUUGUUAGUGUUGUUUCUUUGCUAUUCUUUUACCCUUCUUGGUCAGAGCGAUGUAGUGAGAGCUGCAAGCUUCACGUGUCUCAACUUUGUCAGAGAACUUUGGCAGAGUUAUAUGUGGUACCCAUGAGCUACUGUUGCGUGUGGGAAGUGGGUGAGUGAACAGUACGAUUCAUGUGCUUUCUACUUCGCCAGAAAUCUUCGACAGAAUGCCCAUAAUUUCCGCAAAGCUGAGUGUGCGUGACAGGUGCUGACAAGGCUGGAAAAGUAGUCUCAACUUUGUCAGAGAACUUUGGCAAAGUUAUAUGUGGUACCCAUGAGCUACUGUUGCGUGUGGGAAGUGCGUGAUUGAACAGUACGAUUCAUGUGCUUUCUACUUCGCCAGAAAUCUUCGACAGAAUGCCCAUAAUUUCCGCAAAGCUGAGUGCGUGUGACAGGUGCUGACAAGGCUGGAAAAGUAGGUGCCUCUUCGAUUUCUGAGAUCGGCCCUCGUGGUCUCUGAGCAGCCCAGCUUUUGAGAAAGCAAACCUCUUCGAUUUUUGAGAUCGGCCCUCGUGGUCUCUGAGCAGCCCAGCUUUUGAGAAAGCAAACCUCUUCGAUUUCUGAGAUCGGCCUUCGUGGUCUUUGAGCAGCCCAGCUUUUGAGAAAGCAAACGCCUCUUCGAUUUCUGAGAUCGACCCUCGUGGUCUCUGAGCCGCCCAGCUUUUGAGAAAGCAAACGCCUCUUCGAUUUCUGAGCAGGCGCCUCUUCGAUUUCUAAAGCUUCGUCGAGUGCAGAUUUUUAUAGGGGCUGACAUUAAGUUCCAAAACACACUUGAAUAUCCACCAGUAGAAGCUUCAUUCUUGCACUUCUAAGAUCUUGAUUUGUCCGACCUCUUCUCUCUUCAACACCUUUGAAAAUGUCUAGCCCCUCCGACCGUCGUUUUGACUUGAACCUUGUUGAAGAGGCAGCCCCGCCUUCUCCAGACAACAUAUGGCGCCCAUCCUUCGUCUCCCCUACUGGUCCUCUUACCGUUGGGGAUUCCGUGAUGAAGAAUGAUAUGACCGCUGCGGUAGUGGCCAGGAACCUUCUCACUCCCAAAGAUAACCGACUACUUUCCAAACGGUCUGAUGAGUUGGCUGUUAAGGAUUCUCUGGCUCUUAGUGUUCAGUGUACAGGUUCUGUGUCUAAUAUGGCCUAACGCCUAUUUGCUCGAACCCGCCAAGUUGAAUCAUUGGCGGCUGAAGUGAUGAGUCUCAAACAGGAGAUUAGAGGGCUCAAGCAUGAGAAUAAACAGUUGCACCGGCUCGCACAUGACUAUGCUACAAACAUGAAGAGGAAGCUUGACCAGAUGAAGGAAUCUGAUGGUCAGGUUUUACUUGAUCAUCAGAGAUUUAUGGGUUUGUUCCAAAGGCAUUUAUUGCCUUCAUCUUCUGGGGCUGUACCGCGUAAUGAAGCUCCAAAUGAUCAACCUCUGAUGCCUCCUCCUUCUAGGGUUCUGUCCAGUACUGAGGCUCCGAAUGAUCCCCCUCCGGUGCCUUCUCUUUCUGGGGCUCUACCGACUGCUGAGACUUCUCCUAAUCAACCUUUGUGAAGGCUCCCUCUUGUUUGUUUAUUUUGACUCAAGUAUAUGUACAUAUUUAUAACUUAUCGGGGAUAUCAAUAAAUAAGCUUUCCUUCAUUUCAACGUUUUGUGUUAAAUCACCAAAGCCUUCUUCGCUAAGUUUUUUGAAUUUUCUUUUGUUGAAGCUUGUACGUUGAAGCUUUGUGAGUGGAGCAUGUAGGUUGAGGUAAUGUUCCCUUAAUUUCCCGAGCGAGGACAACUUCUCGGUUGGAGACUUGGAAAAUCCAAGUCACUGAGUGGGAUCGGCUAUAUGAAUCUUAGAACGCCAUUGUGUUCUGUCCUGUGUCAUGUCCUCCAUUAGAUCCAAGUACUCUAAGUCUUUUCUUAGGGUCUCUCUCAAAGUUUUCCUAGGUCUUCCUCUACCCCUUCGGCCCUGAACCUCUGUCCCAUAGUCGCAUCUUCUAAUUGGAGCGUCAGUAGGCUUUCUUUGCACAUGUCCAAACCACCGUAACCGAUUUUCUCUCAUCUUUCCUUCAAUUUCGGCUACUUCUACUUUACCCCGGAUAUCCUCAUUCCUAAUCUUAUCCUUUCUCGUGUGCCCACACAUCCAACGAAGCAUCCUCAUCUCCGUUACACCCAUUUUGUGUACGUGUUGAUGCUUCACCGCCCAACAUUCUGUGCCAUACAGCAUCGCCGGCCUUAUUGCCGUCCUAUAAAAUUUUCCCUUGAGCUUCAGUGGCAUACGGCGGUCACACAACACGCCGGAUGCACUCUUCCACUUCAUCCAUCCAGCUUGUAUUCUAUGGUUGAGAUCUCCAUCUAAUUCUCCGUUCUUUUGCAAGAUAGAUCCUAGGUAACGAAAACGGUCGCUCUUUGGUAUUUCUUGAUCUCCGAUCCUCACCCCUAACUCGUUUUGGCCUUCAUUUGCACUGAACUUGCACUCCAUAUAUUCUGUCUUUGAUCGGCUUAGGCGAAGACCUUUAGAUUCCAACACUUCUCUCCAAAGGUUAAGCUUUGCAUUUACCUCUUCCUGAGUUUCAUCUAUCAACACUAUAUCGUCUGCGAAAAGCAUACACCAAGGAAUAUCAUCUUGAAUAUGUCCUGUUAACUCAUCCAUUACCAACGCAAAAAGGUAAGGACUUAAGGAUGAGCCUUGAUGUAAUCCUACAGUUAUGGGAAAGCUUUCGGUUUGUCCUUCAUGAGUUCUUACGGCAGUCUUUGCUCCUUCAUACAUAUCCUGUAUAGCUUGGAUAUAUGCUACUCGUACUCCUUUCUUCUCUAAAAUCCUCCAAAGAAUGUCUCUUGGGAUCCUAUCAUACGUUUUUUCCAAAUCUAUAAAGACCAUGUGUAAAUCCUUUUUCCCAUCUCUAUAUCUUUCCAUCAAUCUUCGUAAGAGAUAGAUUGCCUCCAUGGUUGAGCGCCCUGGCAUGAACCCGAAUUGGUUGUCCGAAACCCGUGUCUCUUGCCUCAAUCUAUGCUCAAUGACUCUCUCCCAGAGCUUCAUUGUAUGACUCAUUAGCUUAAUACCCCUAUAGUUCAUGCAAUUUUGUACAUCGCCCUUAUUCUUGUAGAUAGGCACCAAAGUGCUCGUUCGCCACUCAUUUGGCAUCUUCUUCGUUUUCAAAAUCCUAUUGAAAAGGUCAGUGAGCCAUGUUAUACCUGUCUCUCCCAAAACUUUCCACACUUCGAUUGGUAUAUCGUCUGGGCCCACUGUUUUUCUAUGCUUCAUCUUCUUCAAAGCUACAACCACUUCUUCCUUCCGGAUUCUACGAUAAAAAGAGUAGUUUCUACACUCUUCUGAGUUACUCAACUCCCCUAAAGAAGCACUCCUUUCAUGUCCUUCAUUGAAAAGAUUAUGAAAAUAACCUUUCCAUCUGUCUUUAACCGCGUUCUCUGUAGCAAGAACCUUUCCAUCCUCAUCCUUGAUGCACCUCACUUGGUUUAGGUCCCUUGUCUUCUUUUCCCUUGCUCUAGCUAGUUUAUAGAUAUCCAACUCUCCUUCUUUGGUAUCUAGUCGCUUAUACAUAUCGUCAUAAGCCGCUAACUUAGCUUCUCUCACAGCUUUCUUCGCCUCUUGCUUCGCUUUUCUAUACCUUUCACCAUUUUCAUCGGUCCUAUCCUUGUAUAAGGCUUUACAACAUUCCUUCUUAGCCUUCACCUUUGUUUGUACCUCCUCAUUCCACCACCAAGAUUCCUUUUGGUGUGGGGCAAAGCCCUUGGACUCUCCUAAUACCUCUUUUGCUACUUUUCGGAUACAACUAGCCAUGGAAUCCCACAUUUGGUUAGCUUCCCCCUCUCUAUCCCACACACACUGGGUGAUUAUUUUCUCUUUGAAAAUGGCUUGUUUUUCUUCUUUUAGAUUCCACCAUCUAGUCCUUGGGCACUUCUAAGUCUUGUUCUUUUUUCUCACUCUUUUGAUAUGUACAUCCAUCACCAACAAGCGAUGUUGAUUAGCCACGCUCUCUCCUGGUAUAACUUUGCAAUCCUUACAAGUUAUACGAUCCUCUUUCCUCAUUAGAAGAAAAUCUAUUUGUGUUUUUGACGACCCACUUUUGUAAAUUUGUAUUUGAAAAAAAAAUUAGGAAUGAUAGUUCGGAUAUUUAAUGAGCUUUUUUAUUUUUUAUUUUUUACAAACCACAACAUUGGUGGGUUAAAUACACAUUAGUGGUUAGGAGAGAGAAAUUGGUAAAAAUCGAAGUAGGACCAUCAUGUGUUUAAAUUCUAGAGUGUAUCGCAGAAUUCUAAUCUCAGGAAAAAAAAAAAACUAAGAAUUUGAAUGCUAUUAAAACCCUUAGUAAUAAAAAUUAUUGGCAACGAAUACAACUAUUUUGCGAUAAUACCAUAAUGUUUAAAACAAUUACAAAGAGGAAUGAAUGAAGGAAAAUUUCGCUUGAAUCACAUUAACACAUAAACCCUAAAACCUAGUAACAAAUAGUGAACACUACGUACAUGAUUUUUUUUAGAGCCAAAAGGGUACUAGACAAGAAAAUUGGAAAGGUUUACUCUCUGUCUCUCUCCUAGGGUUAGGGAUCUACUGAACCUACCAGCUUUGCAACAAUUUCGGCACUAUCCAUGAUAUGGUCCAUGCUUUUGUGUCACUCCUCAAUAUUCUCUGCAAGAGGAAAUAAUAGUAAUCAAAAUAUCAUAAUGUUAUGUAAAACUGCAUAUAAGUACCUUCUGAAGGGGGUUAAUUUUGCUCGUUUGCCUUGAACUCCGGUUUGUUUAAAAGUAACGACAAGCAGGAACAAUAAUGAGACUAGCCUUAAUUGUUCUGCAGUACAUGGACAAACGUAUUUCUCGCCAUUAUUAUUCCUACUAUGUCAAAUUUGUGAAGAAGCGAAGAAUUGUUGAAAUAGAAUAGAUUAAGUAAAUGAGCACCCUUUUAUUGGUAAACUCAUUUUAGCACAAAUAUUAUAUCACACCCUACUUCGUAUGGUACAAUACUCAUGCCCCCACACGCCCAAAUAUAACGUUAACGAGCUACAGUUGCGUCAAGGGCGGAGCCAAGAUUUUUUUCUUGGGUGGGCUAACUGAAAUUAGUGCCAUAAAAUCAUACGUUUAUUUUUUAGGAAAACUAAUGAAAAGGGCUUGAAAACUUUGAGUUUUAACGAUAAGAACAAAAUAAAGGGUAAAGUGAAUAGUAUCAGGAUUGACUUUUUAGUGUAAAAAUGUGGUUUUUCGUUAAAGUGAACAGUACCGGGAGCUUUUCGUUAAAGUUCCCCUUUUUUUUUUGCUUACAUAAAACUAUAUAGUAAUCAAUAUAAAAGAACGACAAUAGAAUAUAAAUUAUUCUCAAAAUCAUAACCUAGCCGAUGUAUUCAAGGACAAUAUAAAUAAUUAACCUAUUAAUUAAAUCAGGAAUAAGUAAAUAAAGAGAUUAAGAACGUACCAAAGGUGACUUCAUUGGAAAAUCGCAAUGGAAAGUACAAAAUUGCGGACAUAGGGAUUUACUUGUGGAUUUAAAAAAAAAAAAUCAUUUCUUUUCUUGAGAAAGAAGCACAGAAGCUAUAUCGCAUAUGGUAAAUGAUCUUUUUCUUUACUCCAUACCAUAUUCAAAGUGAGUUGGUUGAAAGACCCAGAAAUAUAGUCACUGAGGGGUUUUAGGAUAGGAUAAAGGGGGACGGGAGAUAGAACUAAUUUAUAAUUUUUAGCAUAAAACUUAUGGUGUGUGAUAUCUACACAUCCCUUUUUACUUCUCACACACCCCUCAUCAAUUUCUAUCAUUUGAUAUUUUUCAAGUCAUUUGAUCCUUUUCAAGUCAUUUGAUCCGACGGUCGAAAAUUAAAAAGGUAUGUGAGAAGUAAAAAUGGAUGUGUGGAUAGCACACCCCAAACUUAUUAUUUAUUACCUAUCCUUUACUAAAUAUACAUUAAAUAAUAACCUGUAUUGAAAUUGAAUGGCCUAUAAGCAUGAGAUUACAAAAGAAUAGUGUUAUUCACUUUCAUUUUUACCUCCAACACACCCUUAUUAAUCUUUUACCAUUGAUCAUCUUCAAUUCAUUCUAUACGAAUGUCGAAAAUUGAGAGAAGGUGUGUGAGAAGUAAAAAUGAGUGCAUGAAUAGCACUAUCAUUACAGAAAACAUCCCUGAGCUAUAGCCCACCUUAGCCAUGUGGGUGGCUCCGCCAUUGAGUUGUGUCAAUGUUAAGUUUCAAAUCAUUCAACAAAUGUUCUUGCUUUGGUUAUUCAGACCAAACAAAAAAAAAGAUAAAAAGAAUAUAAAAGAUACGAAGGUGUGCAAAAUGAACACACUUUUACAAAGUGUAGCAUGUGCAUAACAACUUGAGCCAAAAGGCAAUUAGGAGUCAAUCAAGAGUCGUUCAUAAGCCUAUUUAAACGUCGUUUUGUAAAAAUUAUGGGCAAUACGCCGUAGUGAAGUUUUCAUCUUUCUAAACUUGGACCUGGAAACAAUGAAAAAGACAUGUCUUACUUUUACCAGGAAUUUCACGAUCAUACGAGUAGCCAUAUAGCGGACAAUAGUUUUGUACAUGCUUGAAAUAGGACGAGCAACUUAAGUUUCUAGAAAAAUAAGCAUUACACAUCAAUAUCCAAUGUAGCUGCAAUAACCAAACAUAAUGCACGGGUAAAGGCCGAACAAAUAUAAAACUGAUCUCCAUUACUUACGAUGUUUCACGAAGUUUUUUUAAAUUGGUGUGGUAGUUGUUUUAUUACUAUUGUUCAUUCCUCAAUAAUUUAGAAAAUGAUUUACAACGCAAACCAACAAUGUGAAGUCGUAACAAGGCAUCAAAGCAAAUACAUCAAAAUUUUAUUCUAACUCAUGAAACAUCCCACAAAUUUGUUAGCGCUAGAGAAGUUGAAUUCUUUGUUUAAGAUAACGAAGAAGAAGGUGGGACAGAAGUUGCAAUUAUACAAUAAUUACAUACUUGGUCAGCCCUAGCUUGAAUGGCAGUUCUGUUCCCGGUGUGUUCAUAAGUAAAGGUGUUGUUCAUGAAAACAUUAUGGCACGGUCUUCCUAAUGCCACAAGAGCCUGGCAACUAAAGUCACUGAUUUUCUUUCCUUUGAAAAUAUAGUUGUACACGUCGAAUGCGUACUUUAUGCUGAAAUGUUUUUUGCACUCAACCACGGCCGGCUAGUCAUCCAAAUGCGCCAAUGUUGGAAGUGCGCAACUCGCCAAAAACAAAAUGACCACAAUUGGAUGUAUGUUUCGUCUGGCCAUAAUUGUGGAACAAGUAACUUUUGAUUUUCUUAGAAAAUGACCCCUUAGAUGUAGUUGAACUUUGAUGCAAGAAGUUCUACACUUAUAAGGGAUAAGGCAAAGGUACGAGUCAUUCGAAAAAUGAAAAACACAUUUUCCUUUAAAACUACUUUAGCAACGUAUUUACUGAUGUAAGGUAUGAAAUACGAGAAUUUCUAUUUGGUAUUUAUUUUGGUACCAUUAACGCAACUUACAAGUUCUCAUAAAUUGUUUAAUUAAUCUCAAUAAUCACAUAGCUAUUUAUUAUUUCGCACAAAUAUUACUUGUUUGCAAAUUAAUUCAAUGACUAGUUUAUUACAAGAGAGUUGCGAAAACUAUGAACUAAACUUGCAUGUUGUGUUAGUGACUAUCGUUGCAUGAAAAAGAGAAGACAACCAUGAAAAAGAACACAACAAGCCUUAAUUGUUAUGUAGUAAAUGGACAAAAAUAUUUCUCAAGCAUUAUUAUUCCAACUAUAUUAAAAUGAAAAUGUGAUGUAAGAGAUUAAAUUUGUUAUGAAGUGAAGAAUUGUUGAAGUGCAAUAGAUUAAGUAAAUGAGCACCCUUUCUUGGUAAACUCAUUUUAUCACAAAUAUUAUAUCACACCCUACUGCGUAUAGUACAAUACUCAUGCCCCACAUGCCCGAAUAUAAUGUUAAUGACCUACAAUUACGUCCAUGAUAAGUUUCAAAUCAUUCAACAGAUAUUCUAGUUUUGGUUAUUUGGACCAAAGAAAAAAAGAUAAAAAAAAUAUUAAAAAAAAGAUACAGAGGUGUGCAAAAUGAACACACUUUUACAAAGUGUGGCAUGUGCAUAACAACUUGAACCAAAAGGCCAAUAUGAGUUGAUCAAGAGUGUUUCACAAGCCUAUUUCAAUGUCAUUUUGAAAGAAUUUUGGGCAAUACACCAUGGCCACGUUUUCAUCUUUCUCAACUUGGACCCAUAAACAAUGAAUAAGACAUGUAUGAUUGUUACCAGGAAGAUUCCAAUCGUACGAGUAGCCAUAUAGCAGACAAUAGUUCCGUACAUCCUUGAAAUGGGACAAGGAAAAUAAGUUUUAAGACAAAGAAAAAAAAGCAUUACAUAUCAAUAUGCAGCGUAGCUGCAAUAACCAAACGUAAUGCACAGGUAAAGGCCAACAAAUGUAAAAGUGAUCUCUAUUACUUACGAUGUAUCCAGAAGUUUUUUAAAUUGGUGUGGUAGUUGUUUUAUUACUACUGUUGAUUUCCUCAAUCAUUUUGAAAAUGCUUUAUAACUCAAAGCAAAAAAGUGAAGUCGUAUCAAGGCAUCAAAGCAGAUACAAUGAAAUUUUAUUCUAACUCAUGAAACAUCUCACAAUUUGUUAGCCCUAGAGAGGUUCAAUUCUCAAUUUAAGAUAGCGAAGAAGGAGGUGGGACGGAAGUUGUAAUUAUACAAUGAUUAAAUACUCAGUCAGCCCUAGCUUGAAUGGCAGUUAUGUUCCAAGUGUGUUCAUAAGUAGAGGUGUUGUUCACGAAAAUGUUAUGGCACGAUCUUCCCAACGCCAUAAAGGCCCGGCAACUAAAGUCACCAAAAGCCUAUUUCAACCUCGUUUUGUAAACAAUUUGGGCACUACGUCAUAGUGAAGUUUUCAUCAUUCUAAGCUUAGACCCGGAAACAAUGAACCUAUGACUGUUACCAAGAAUAUCGCGAUCAUACGAGUAGCCAUAUAGCGGACAAUAGUUCCGUACAUGCUUGAAAUGGGACGAGCAACCUAAGUUUCUAGGAACAUAAGCAUUACACAUCAAUAUGCAGUGUAGCGGCAAUAACCGAAAAUAAUGCAAAGGUAAAGGCCAAACAAAAUGUAAAACUGAUCUCUAUUACUUACGAUGUUUCACAAAGUUUUUUAAAUUGGAGUGGCAGUUGAUUUAUUACUAUUGUUCAUUCCUCAAUCAUUUGAAAAUGCUUUACAACUCAAAGCAACAAAGUGAAGUCGUAACAAGGCAUCAAAGCAAAUACAUCAAAAUUUUAUUCUUACUCAUGAAACAUCCCACAAAUUUGUUAGCCCUAGUGAAGUUCAAUUCUCAAUUUAAGAUAGCGAAGAAGGAGGUGGGACAGAAGUUGCAAUUAUACAAUGAUUAAAUACUCGGUCAGCCCUAACUUGAAUGGCAGUUCUGUUCCUGGUGUGUUCAUAAGUAAACGUGCUAUUCACGAAAACAUUAUGGCACGGUUUUCCCAGCGCCACAAGGGCCCGGCAACUAAAGUCACCGAUUUUCUUCCCUUUGAAAAUAUAGUUGUACACGUCGAAUGCGUACUUUAUGCUGAAAUGUUUUUUGCACUCAACCACUGCCGGCGAGUCAUCCAAAUGCGCCAAUGUUGGAAGUGCGCAAUUCGCCAAAAGCAAAAUGACCAUAAUUGGAAACAUGUUUAGCCCGGCCAUAAUGAUGGAAAUAAUGAGUAACUUUUGAUAUUCUUAGAAAAUGAUCCUUUAGAUGCAGUUGAACUUUGGUGCAAGCAGUUAUAUACUUAUAAGGGAUGAGGCAAAGGUGAGAGUCAUUCGUAAAAUGAAAAAUGCAUUUUCCUUUAAAACUACUUUAGCAACGUAUUUGCUUAUGUGAGGUAUCAAAUACGAGGGUUUCUAAUUUGGUAUUUAUUUUCGUACCGUAAACUCAACUUACAAGUACCCAUAAAUUGUUUAAUUAAUCUCAACAAUCACCUAGCUAUUUAUUAUUUCACACUAAAAUUACAUGUUUGCAAAUUAAUACACCGACUAGUUUAAUACAAUAGAGUUGCGAAAACGGUGAACUGAACUUGUAUGUCGUGUUAGUGACUACCGUUGCGUGCAAAAGUGACGACAAGCAGGAAAAAGAACGCAACUAGCCUUAAUUGGUCUGCAAUAAAUGGACAAACAUAUUUCUCGACAUUAUUAUUCCUACUAUGUCAAAAUGAAAAUGUGACGUAAGAGAAUAAAUUUGUUAAAAAGUGAAGAAUUAUUGAAGUAUAAUACAUUAACUAAAUGAGCACCUUUUUCUUGGUAAACUCAUUUUAGAACAAAUAUUAUAUCACACCCUACUGCGUAUAGUACAAUACUCAUGCCCCACAAGCCCGGAUAUAAUGUUGACGAUCUACAGUUGCGUCAAUGUUAAGUUUCAAAUCAUUCAACAAAUGUUCUUGUUUGGUUAUUCAGACUAAAGAAAAAAAGAUUAAAAAAAAUAUAAAAGAUACGGAUCUGUGCAAAAUGAACACACUUUUACAAGGUGUAGCAUGUGCAUAACAACUUGAACCAAAAGGCCAAUAAGAGUCAAUCAAGAGUCUUCCAUAAGCCUAUGUCAACCUCGUUUUGUAGACAAUUUGGGCAAUACGUCGUAGUGAAGUUUUCAUCAUUUUAAGUUUGGACCCAGAAACAAUGAACGUAUGACUGUUACCAAGAAUAUCGCGAUCAUACGAGUAGCCAUAUAGCGGACAAUAGUUCCGUACAUGCUUGAAUAGGGACGAGCAACCUAAGUUUCUAGAAAAAUAAGCAUUACACAUCAAUAUGCAGUGUAGCUGCAAUAACCGAAAAUAAUGCAAAGGUAAAGGCCAAACAAAUGUAAAACUGAUCUCUAUUACUUACGAUGUUCCACAAAGUUUUUUAAAUUGGAGUGGUAGUUGUUUUAUUACUAUUGUUCAUUCCUCAAUCAUUUGAAAAUGUUUUACAACUCAAAGCAACAAAGUAAAGUCGUAACAAAGAAUCAAAGCAAAUACAUCAAAAUUUUAUUCUUACUCAUGAAACAUCCCACAAAUUUGUUAGCCCUAGUGAAGUUCAAUUCUCAAUUUAAGAUAGCGAAGAAGGAGGUGGGACAGAAGUUGCAAUUAUACAAUGAUUAAAUACUCGGUCAGCUCUAACUUGAAUGGCAGUUCUGUUCCCGGUGUGUUCAUAAGUAAAGGUGCUAUUCACGAAAACAUUAUGGCACGGUUUUCCCAGCGCCACAAGGGCCCGGCAACUAAAGUCACCGAUUUUCUUCCCUUUGAAAAUAUAGUUGUACACGUCGAAUGCGUACUUUAUGCUGAAAUGUUUUUUGCACUCAACCACUGCCGGCGAGUCAUCCAAAUGCGCCAAUGUUGGAAGUGCGCAAUUCGCCAAAAGCAAAAUGACCAGAAGUGGAAACAUGUUUAGCCCGGCCAUAAUGAUGGAAAUAAUGAGUAACUUUUGAUUUUCUUAGAAAAUGAUCCUUUAGAUGCAGUUGAACUUUGGUGCAAGCAGUUAUAUACUUAUAAGGGAUGAGGCAAAGGUGAGAGUCAUUCGUAAAAUGAAAAACGCAUUUUCCUUUAAAACUACUUUAGCAACGUAUUUGCUUAUGUGAGGUAUCAAAUACGAGGGUUUCUAAUUUGGUAUUUAUUUUCGUACCGUAAACUCAACUUACAAGUACCCAUAAAUUGUUUAAUUAAUCUCAACAAUCACCUAGCUAUUUAUUAUUUCACACUAAAAUUACAUGUUUGCAAAUUAAUAGACCGACUAGUUUCAUACAAUAGAGUUGUGAAAACCCGUGAACUGAACCUGUAUGUCGUGUUAGUGACUACCGUUGCGUGAAAAAGUGACGACAAGCAAGAAAAAGAACGCGACUAGCCUUAAUUGUUCUGCAAUAAAUGGACAAACAUAUUUCUCGACAUUAUUAUUCCUACUAUGUCAAAAUGAAAAUGUGACGUAAGAGAUUAAAUUUGUUAAGAAGCGAAGAAUUGUUGAAGUACAAUACAUUAACUAAAUGAGCACCAUUUGCUUGGUAAACUCAUUUUAGAACAAAUAUUAUAUCACACCCUACUGCGUAUAGUACAAUACUCAUGCCCCACAUGCCCGGAUAUAAUGUUGACGAUCUACAGUUGCGUCAAUGUUAAGUUUCAAAUCAUUCAACAAAUGUUCUUGUUUUGGUUAUUCAAACUAAAGAAAAAAGGAUUAAAAAAUAUAUAAAAGAUACGGAGCUGUGCAAAAUGAACACACUUUUACAAGGUGUAGCAUGUGCAUAACAACUUGAACCAAAAGGCCAAUAAGAGUCAAUCAAGAGUCUUUCAUAAGCCUAUUUCAACCUCGUUUUGUAAACAAUUUGGGCAAUAUGUUGUAGUGAAGUUUUCAUCAUUCUAAGCUUGGACCCGGAAACAAUGAACGUAUGACUGUUACCAAGAAUAUCGCGAUCAUACGAGUAGCCAUAUAGCGGAUGUUUAUACCAUAUUUAGGGCCUCGUAUUUAGAUCUCGUACAAAUACUCAGGGGACUUAAAUGUAAUUAUGGGAUAAAGGAAGGGGCAAAUAUGUAAUAAGUGAGGAGUCCUUAUUCUAUAAAAGGACCCCUCACCCUCACAAUUGGAGAGGGCUCAUUCUCACCAUCGGAGGCCAUUUCUGAAGCCUCUCACCCCCUCUCAAAGCUUCCUCACACCCCCUAAGCUCUAAGCUCUCUCUCUCUCUCCCUCUUCAACACAGAAAUACAAUACAAUCAGUGUGGACGUAGCCCAAACCUUGGGGUGAACCACGAUAACUCUUGUGUCAUUUACAUUUCUUGCAGAUUCACGGUCGGAUUUACGUUGUUCCAAGACCAUCCGGUUUUGUGCAUCAACAUUUGGCGCCGUCUGUGGGAAACGACACGAAAAGCUAUAUCUACUAUUUCUGAGCAAAAUCCAACUGUUGGGUUUCGUUGUGAAGAUCAAAGAUACCAGAUAUGGAUGCCUUCUCUUCCUCCUUUCUAUCUAUAUUUCCCACUCAAAAAAUAUAUAUAUCAAUUUCUCCUGCCAUAACAUCCCCCAAGCUCAGCAGCAUCUAUGCUGUAAGAAUUGAAACCCUUCAGUGAAACCCUCCAGUGAAACCCUCAGUGGACCCCAGGCACGUGCUCUCCUACAACUUUGCUCCAGUUGAAGAACUUCCGCCCACGGAGUGCGAGAUCAUAUAGGGCACCCUGUCGCCGUGCCUCGACGGAGCCUACAUUCUAUAAAUCCCCGAACCCGCAGUACCUUCCGCGUGGGCCUACCACCUGUUUGACGGGGAAGGAAUACUUCACUCCGUUAGGAUUUCUGGAGGCUGGACGGUGCUCUGCAGCAAAUAUGUCAACACCGGUGCUCAGUGCACCGUUGAACGCGACGUCGGCCACCCUAUUCUUCCCAACGUCUUCCCUGGCUUCAACGGCCUCACUCGACCCAACAAGGUCAGAUCUUCGACGACGCCAGCGCGAUCCACCUUCACCAUGAACCGCUGCCUGAGCUGGAGCUGCACCGACAGGGCCUUGCUCUUCCAUGGCCGCCCACUCCAUCCUUCGCAACCAUAAACCCGUACCUUUACCCAGUACAGGAUUCAACGACCCACGUCUCUCCUCUCAGUACUCAGCUGAAGAACAAGAAUAUCACAAAUGACUAUGAAGGAAGGUUCAAGCGACGAAAUGGGCCAUGCGUUCACCGAGUCAGAAACCCAACGAUGGAACAAAUCUAGUCCUAGCUCUAGCACUUUGGGUAUGAUGUGCUUGUUUCAAGAGCUGCACGAGAGAGAUGGUGUGCCUGCAUAAGCCUUGGUCGCCGGAUGAGCCGAUUCCCUGCGAGCUAGUCGACGGCGGGUGCAGGUGGUGGAGCGCACAGAAUGCAGUUGUAAACCUAGAAGAUCACUCCAACCUCCAAUCAGAUAAACUAGUAAAAAGGAUGGGGAAAGAUGCGAAGGCAUGAGGAAAAGGGAAGGGAAAGGAAAAUUCGAGAAGGUCGACGAUGGACCCAGGCACCUGCACUUAUGUUAAAGCAAGGCACAAACUUUAUGAAAAGAAAAGAACAAAAGCAGAAGAGCAGAAAAGAAAAGUACUUUGAUGGGAUUUUUACAGCUGGAGUACACCAGCUUGUGUUUCAAACAGCAGAAAAAGAAAAAAGAGGCGUGAUAGUGGAUGGGCACGACCAAGAUGUCCAAGAAAAGCAAAAGGAUGUUUGGAAAUAAAGUGGGAGACUGAAAAGCAGAGGGAGAAAGUGGAUGAGAUGAUUGAGGGCUCCAUGGAGGAUGUUAUCCUACCAGAGAAAGUGGAUGUAAUAAAUUCGGAGUAGAAAGAUAAAAGCAAAAGGGUGGUGGCUGUCCAAAGCAGCUAUCAUUUUAGAGAAAACAAAGGCGAAAGCAAAUAGGAGGCACAUGGGGACACUGCAAAAGCAAGGAAAAAACACCCCACCAGAAUGAUGUAAUUUAUGUUUCGUAUCUUUCGGAGAUAUUUGUAUAAACCCCAUCAGAGGGUAAUAUAUAUAAACCCCAUCAGAGGGUAAAAAAAAAAAAAAAAAAAAAAAAAAAAAAAAGGAAAAGCCCAAAACAAAUGGGCUGACAUGUUGUGGAGGGCGAAGGCCCAUAUACCCAAAAUAGCACCAACCAGGUCAUCAAAAGUACGCCCAGUACUUCAAAUCAGACAUGAGCAUUACUCAUGUCAAUCAUACAUAAACAUUCAUGAGCAUUACUCAUGUCAAUCAUACAUAAACAUUCAUGAGCAUUACUCAUCCAAUCAUACAUAAACAUUCAUGAGCAUCACUCAUGUCAACAUCCAUGAGCAUUACUCAUGUCAAUCAUACAUAAACAUUCAUGAGCAUUACUCAUCCAAUCAUACAUAAACAUUCAUGAGCAUCACUCAUGUCAACAUCCAUGAGCAUCACUCAUGUCAAUCAAACAUAAACAUUCAUGAGCAUCACUCAUGUCAAUUAGCUUCAAACGCUUCAUUUACAAAAGCUCCAGCUUCGAAAGCUUCAUUUACAGAGCUCUAGCUUCGAAAGCUUCAUUUACAGAGCUCUAGCUUCAAAGCUUCACUUGCAAAGCUUCACCUACAAAGCUUCACCUACAAAGCUUCAGUGCAAGGUAUACAAAUAUCGCCUCCUAACAACCGCCACUUCGGCCCAUACAUGGAUUCAAUUUGAAGUCUCCAGCCAACAGACUCUAUUGACCGAAGACUUGGGGGACUACAUUAUGUACCAUAUAUUGGGCCUCAACUGGGCCUCAUAAAAAAUACUUGGGAGACUCUAGCCCAUCACUUAUGUAUUGAGGAGCGAGCCCUUAUUCUAUAAAAGGGACUCCUUCACUUUUAGAGAGCACUCAUGAAAAAUACUUGGGGGACUCUAGCCCAUCACUUAUGUAUUGAGGAGUGAGCCCUUAUUCUAUAAAAGGGAAUCCCUCACUUUCAUUAGAGAGCACCCAUUAUUCAUGUACUGAGGAGUGAACCCUUAUUUUAUAAAAGGGACUCCCUCACCACCUUUAGAGAGCAUCGCCGCCUACUGAGCAACCGUCUCACUGCGAGCAUCAACUCUAACCCAUCACUUAUGUAUUGAGGAGAGAGCCCUUAUUCUAUAAAAGGGACUCCCUCACCUUCAAACGCCACAAGCCAAGCCAACCAAGGCAACAUAAGCUACAAGCAAAGCGGCCUCACAACAUGUGCUACUUCUAGUUGAGCAUCAUUUCAGAUUGGGCACCGCCUCAUAUCGAGCAUCAGUUACUUCGGCCCACACAUGGACUGAAUUUCAAGUCUCCAGCCAAAAGACUCUCUUGACUGAAGACUUGGGGGACUACUGUUUAUACCAUAUUUAGGGCCUCGUAUAUUUGGGCCUUGGGCCUUGUAUUUGGGCCUCACACUAAAGCCCAUACUUUGUAAAAGAGGAGGAGCCCCUUAUUCUAUAAAAGGGGACUCCUCCCCUCAUUCUAGAGGAGGCUCAUUCUCACCCUCAGAUCUCAUCCUCAGAGGCCAAUUCCUAAGUUUCUCCUCACCCCUCUCAAAGCUCUCACUUAUAGAGCUCUUUCUCUCCCUCACUUCUCAGAGAAAUAUAAUACAAUCAGUGUGGACGUAGCCCAAACCUUGGGGUGAACCACGAUACAUCUUGUGUUAUUUACAUUACAUGCAGAUUCACGGUCGGAUUUACGUUGUACCAAGACCAUCCGGUUUUGUGCAUCAACAGCGGACAAUAGUUCCGUACAUGCUUGAAAUGGGACGACCAACCUAAGUUUCUAGAAAAAUAAGCAUUACACAUCAAUUUGCAGUGUAGCUGCAAUAACCGAAAAUAAUGCAAAGGUAAAGGCCAAACAAAUGUAAAACUGAUCUCUAUUACUUACGAUGUUUCACAAAGUUUUUUAAAUUGGAGUGGUAGUUGUUUUAUUACUAUUGUUCAUUCCUCAAUCAUUUAAAAAUGCUUUACAACUCAAAGAAACAAAGUGAAGUCGAAGCAAGGCAUCAAACCAAAUACAUCGAAAUUUUAUUCUUACUCAUGAAACAUCCCACAAAUUUGUUAGCCCUAGUGAAGUUCAAUUCUCAAUUUAAGAUAGCGAAGAAGGAGGUGGGACAGAAGUUGCAAUUAUACAAUGAUUAAAUACUCGGUUAGCCCUAGCUUGAAUGGCAGUUCUGUUCCCGGUGUGUUCAUAAGUAAAGGUGCUAUUCACGAAAACAUUAUGGCACAGUUUUCCCAGCGCCACAAGGGCCCGGCAACUAAAGUCACCGAUUUUCUUCCCUUUGAAAAUAUAGUUGUACACGUCGAAUGCGUACUUUAUGCUGAAAUGUUUUUUGCACUCAACCACUGCCGGCGAGUCAUCCAAAUGCGCCAAUGUUGGAAAUGCGCAAUUCGCAAAAAGCAAAAUGACCAUAAUUGGAAACAUGUUUAGCCCGGCCAUAAUGAUGGAAAUAAUGAGUGACUUUUGAUUUUCUUAGAAAAUGAUCCCUUAGAUGCUAUUGAAUUGUGGUGCAAGGAGUUCUAUACUUAUAAGGGAUGAGGCAACGGUGAGAGUCAUUCGUAAAAUGAAAAACGCAUUUUCCUUUACAACUACUUUAGCAACAUAUUUGCUGAUGUGAGGUAUCAAAUACGAGGGUUUCUAAUUUGGUAUUUAUUUUUCAUAACGUAAACUCAACUUGCAAGUACCCAUAAGUUGUUUAAUUAAUCUCAACAAUCACCUAGCUAUUUUGACACGCCCGGACCCUGAUAUUCCCCGAAUACCCGGACCAACACGUGCUGGCCGACACCCGGGGGUGACGAAAGCCAUUAAUUGAUACAAAAGCUAAGAAUAAGAAAUAAAUAAGGGUUAGAAAUUUGAAAUACAAUGAGUUAAAAGUUUUAUGAACGUGCUCAGAGCAUACAACUAAACCUAAUCACUAAAAAGAAUUAAGAUAAAAUUUAAUGAAUAAAGGAGUGAGUCCUACAUUCGAGAAGAUCCGAAGAUACUGCUACGAAAGUGUCUUGACGCUGGGAUUAUGUGCCUUGAUUCUAAGUCCUGAAUGGGGGCACAAAACAAAGGUGAGUGGACCAAGUUUAUAUAUAUCAUAAUAAUAAAACAGUUAUCAAUGUACUAACCCCCACAGUUUAUAUAAUGAAAACUACUAGCAUAAUAAGUGAUGGAUUUAAUAAAAAUCCUAGCAUGCCAAAAUAUCUCAAUAGUCAUAUCGCGGAAUAUCAUCGCGGAAAUCAAAACAAUAAACGUCUCAUAAAUUGUCUCGUAAGCGCGGUGUGCUGCUAGAUAGAUCACCUAAUAAAUAUAACUCCCGGCCCAAUGCCUGCACCUCAGUCUCUGUGCCCGUAGCCAGAGAUAACUCCCUCCCGGCCCAAUGCCUGUCACCGUGUCCCUCAGCCUUUCGCUAGGGAUUAUUUCUCCCGGCCUAAAUGCCAACACCAAAUCAUCGCCCCAGGCGGCAUAGUGUCCACUAGGUACGCACAAAUAGUUACGUCUCUCUUGAAUAACCACUUCAUAGCAUAGGUUACCGAUCAUCAUCUACACUAUAAAGAGGGGUUCAAAAACAUGUUCUAGCAUCCUAUCGUCAUCUAUCAGAUAGUUUACCAGUUCAUGGUUUUUAUAGAAAAUAUGAUAUAUAUUAAAAUAUGGCUCAAUAUAAGCUAACAAUUAUUUCCUCACCAAAACACGAGACGAAAUCAAUAAAUUCAGUAAAUAGGAUUGAUAUAAAUCAAUUCACAAAAUUCGUAGGCAUGCUAAUCAUUUAUGCAAUUACUACAAAAUUAUGUAAUUUUAGAAAGGGUCCACUCACAGUACUUAGUUGCCAAAAGCUGCGCCACUAGCGAAGACGGAAACGUCACAAUAAUUGCCCCUAAGCACAUAAAGAGUCCAAUAAAUAAAACUAUAUAAUAGAAAUUGAAUUUGGGAAAACGGACAUUGAAAACGGAUUCAGAACGUCGAAUUACCCUAAGAAGAGUCCCGGAUGAAAACCCGAAAAGUCAACCCUAAAGUCAACGUUGACCGGGGGUCAACGUUCAAAUUAGGCCUAACGGGUUUUAGGCUUGAAAUCCGGAUUAGGGUUUGGGUUUAAAUAGGAUUAGGAUUUAUUGGGUUUUGGUUUUAGGGUUCUAAGGUUAAAAGGGUUUAGGGUGAAAAUGGGUGGUUUGGGCUUAAGCCCAAACCCAAACAACUAACACACACACACACACCUAAUACACACACAUAAAGCCUGGCCCUAAGGCCUCACAAAAGGGCUGGGCUCGGCAGGGAAGGCCCAAAGCCUUGGGUUUCGGUGGGUCGCCGGACCCAAUGGGAGAGAAAGCCGGAAAUCGGCCGGAAAACCACACUCACUUUAAACGGCCAUAACUUUGUCAAUACUUAACGAAAUCAAGCGAGACAAAAACGAAAGUUGUAGCCCUUGAAGAGACGAAGAGAAUAAUACCUCACACGACGUCUAACUCGCCAUGGUUUGGUCGAAAAAUGCCUCGAAAGCCACUGAGGUCGCCGAAAACUGGGUAAGAUUCAAAUGAGUAUAACUUCUUUAAUACUCAACGAAAUUGAGUGAAACAAAAGGAAAGUUAUAGUACUCGACGAGACGAAGAGAUUGAUACCUUACAGGCCAGCCAACUCACUGUGGUUUGGCCAAAAAUGGCCUCGAAAGUCUCCAGAGUCGUCGCGGGAGACUUGGGUGUUCUCAGGGUGUCCCGAAGCUUCGUCAAGACGAGGGAGAGAGAGAAGAAGGUUCCAGAGGUGAUGGUGGUGUCCUCUUCGUUGAUGUGGUGUGGAAGUGAUGGUGUGUGGUUUGGUUCACGGGGAGAAUGAGAGAGUGCAGAGAAAGAGCACGGGAGAGUUGGAGAAAAGAAAAGAGAGAGAGAGAGACCGGGGAAACACAGAAAAAACAUUAUAAGGUGGGCCCCACGUGGCUCACCAUUUAAGAACUAAACAAUUUUUAAAAUAUAAAAGGGGUUGGGGUGUUUCAUAUUUAUUAUUUCACACUAAAAUUACAUGUUUGCAAAUUAAUACACCGACUAGUUUAAUACAAUAGAGUUGCCAAAACCAGUGAAAUGAACUUGUAUGUCGUGUUAGUGACUACCGUUGCGUGAAAAAGUGACGACAAGUAGGAAAAAGAACGCGACUAGCCUUAAUUGUUCUGCAAUAAAUGGACAAACAUAUUUCUCGACAUUAUUAUUCCUACUAUGUCAACAUGAAAAUGUGACGUAAGAGAUUAAAUUUGUUAAGAAGCGAAGAAUUGUUGAAGUACAAUACAUUAACUAAAUGAGCGCCCUUUUCUUGGUAAACUCAUUUUAGAACAAAUAUUAUAUCACACCCUACUGCGUAUAGUACAAUACUCAUGCCCCACACGCCCGAAUAUAACAUUGACGAUCUACAAGUUCGUCAAUGUUAAGUUUCAAAUCAUUCAACAAAUGUUCUUGUUUUGGUUAUUCAAACUAAAGAAAAAAAGAUUAAAAAAAAUAUAAAAGAUAUGGAGCUGUGCAAAAUGAACACACUUUUACAAAGUGUAGCAUGUGCAUAACAACUUGAACCAAAAAGCCAAUAAGAGUCAAUCAAGAGUCUUUCAUAAGCCUAUUUCAACCUCGUUUUGUAAACAAUUUGGGCAAUACGUCGUAGUGAAGUUUUCAUCAUUCUAAGCUUGGACCUGGAAUCAAUGAACAUAUGACUGUUACCAAGAAUAUCGCGAUCAUACGAGUAGCCAUAUAGCGGACAAUAGUUCCUUACAUGCUUGAAAUGGGACGACCAACCUAAGUUUCUAGAAAAAUAAGCAUUACACAUCAAUAUGCAGUGUAGCUGCAAUAACUGAAAAUAAUGCAAAGGUAAAGGCCAAACAAAUGUAAAACUGAUCUCUAUUACUUACGAUGUUUCACAAAGUUUUUUCAAUUAGAGUGGUAGUUGUUGUAUUACUAUUGUUCAUUCCUCAAUCAUUCGAAAAUGCUUUACAACUCAAAGCAACAAAGUGAAGUCGUAACAAGACAUCAAAGCAAAUACAUCGAAAUUUUAUUCUUACUCAUAAAACAUCCCACAAAUUUGUUAGCCCUAGUGAAGUUCAAUUCUCAAUUUAAGAUAGCGAAGAAGGAGGUGGGACAGAAGUUGCAAUUAUACAAUGAUUAAAUACUCGGUCAGCCCUAGCUUGAAUGGCAGUUCUGUUCCCGGUGUGUUCAUAAGUAAAGGUGUUAUUCACGAAAACAUUAUGGCACGGUUUUCCCAACGCCACAAGGGCCCGGCAACUAAAGUCACCGAUUUUCUUCUCUUUGAAAAUAUAGUUGUACACGUCGAAUGCGUACUUUAUGCUGAAAUGUUUUUUGCACUCAACCACUGCCGGCGAGUCAUCCAAAUGCGCCAAUGUUGGAAGUGCGCAAUUCGCCAAAAGCAAAAUGACCAUAAUUGGAAACAUGUUUAGUCCGGCCAUAUUGAUGGAAAUAAUGAGUGACUUUUGAUUUUCUUAGAAAAUGAUCCCUUAGAUGCAGUUGAACUCUAGUGCAAGGAGUUCUAUACUUAUAAGGGAUGAGGCAAAGGUGAGAGUCAUUCGUAAAAUAAAAAACGCAUUUUCCUUUAAAACUACUUUACCAACGUAUUUGCUGAUGUAAGGUAUCAAAUACGAGGGUUUCUAAUUUGGUAUUUAUUUUUCGUAACGUAAACUCAACUUACAAGUACCCAUAAAUUGUUUAAUUAAUCUCAACAAUCACCUAGCUAUUUAUUAUUGCACACUAAAAUUACAUGUUUGCAAAUUAAUACACCGACUAGUUUAAUACCAUAGAGUUGCGAAAACUGGUGAACUGAACUUGUAUGUCGUGUUAGUGACUACCGUUGCGUGAAAAAGUGAAGACAAGCAGGAAAAAGAACGCGACUAGCCUUAAUUGUUCUGCAAUAAAUGGACAAACAUAUUUCUCGACUUUAUUAUUCCUACUAUGUCAAAAUGAAAAUGUAACGUAAGAGAUUAAAUUUGUUAAGAAGCAAAUAAUUAUUGAAGUACAAUACAUUAACUAAAUGAGCACCCUUUUCUUGGUAAACUCAUUUUAGAAAAAAUAUUAUAUCACACCCUACUGCGUAUAGUACAAUACUCAUGCCCCACACGCCCGGAUAUAACGUUGACGAUCUACAGUUGCGUCAAUGUUAAGUUUCAAAUCAUUCAACAAAUGUUCUUGGUUUGGUUGUUCAGACUAAAGAAAAAAGAUUAAAAAAAUAUAAAAGAUACGGAGCUGUGCAAAAUGAACACACUUUUACAAAGUGUAGCAUGUGCAUAACAACUUGAACCAAAAGGCCAAUAAGAGUCAAUCAAGAGUCUUUCAUAAGCCUAUUUCAACCUCGUUUUGUAAACAAUUUGGGCAAUACGUCGUAGUGAAGUUUUCAUCAUUCUAAGCUUGGACCCAAAAACAAUGAACGUGUGACUGUUACCAAGAAUAUCGCGAUCAUACGAGUAGCCAUAUAGCGGACAAUAGUUCCGUACAUGCUUGAAAUGGGACGACCAACCUAAGUUUCUAGAAAAAUAAGCAUUACACAUCAAUAUGCAGUGUAGCUGCAAUAACCGAAAAUAAUGCAAAGGUAAAGGCCAAACAAAUGUAAAACUGAUCUCUAUUACUUACGAUGUUUCACAAAGUUUUUUAAAUUGGAGUGGUAGUUGUUUUAUUGCUAUUGUUCAUUCCUCAAUCAUUUGAAAAUGCUUUACAACUCAAAGCAACAAAGUGAAGUCGUAACAAGGCAUCAAAGCAAAUACAUCUAAAUUUUAUUCUUACUCAUGAAACAUCCCACAAAUUUGUUAGCCCUAGUGAAGUUCAAUUCUCAAUUUAAGAUAGCGAAGAAGGAGGUGGGACAGAAGUUGCAAUUAUACAAUGAUUAAAUACUCGGUCAGCCCUAGCUUGAAUGGCAGUUCUGUUCCCGGUGUGUUCAUAAGUAAAGGUGUUAUUCACGAAAACAUUAUGGCACGGUUUUCCCAGCGCCACAAGGGCCCGGCAACUAAAGUCACCGAUUUUCUUCCCUUUGAAAAUAUAGUUGUACACGUCGAAUGCGUACUUUAUGCUGAAAUGUUUUUUGCACUCAACCACUGCCGGCGAGUCAUCCAAAUGCGCCAAUGUUGUAAGUGCGCAAUUCGCAAAAAGAAAAAUGACUAUAAUUGGAAACAUGUUUAGUCCAACCAUAAUGAUGGAAAUAAUGAGUAACUUUUGAUUUUCUUAGAAAAUGAUCCCUUAGAUGCAGUUGAACUCUGGUGCAAGGAGUUAUAUACUUAUAAAGGAUGAGGCAAAGGUGAGGGUCAUUUGUAAAUUGAAAAACGCAUUUUCCUUUAAAGCUACUUUAGCAACGUAUUUGCUGAUGUGAGGUAUGAAAUACGAGGGUUUCUAAUUUGGUAUUUAUUUUCGUAACGCUAAAAUUACAUGUUUGCAAAUUAAUACACCAAAUAGUUUAGUACAAUAGAGUUGCAAAAACCAUGAACUGAACUUACAUGUCGUGUUAGUGACAAUCAUUUUGUGAAAAAGUAACGACAAUCAGGAAAAAGAACACGACUCGCCUUAAUUGUGCUGCAAUAAAUGGACAAACAUAUUUAUCAAGCAUUAUUAUUCCUAUUAUAACAAAAUGAAAAUGUGACGUAAGAGAUUAAAUUUGUUAAGAAGUGAAGAAUUGUUGAAGUACAAUACAUUAACUAAAUGAGCACCCCUUUCUUGGUAAACUCAUUUUAGAACAAAUAUUAUAUCACACCCUACUGCAUAUGGUACAAUACUCAUGCCCCACACGCCCGGAUAUAUCGUUAACGAUAUGCAGUUGCGUCAAUGUUAAGUUUCAAAUCAUUCAACAAAUGUUCUUGUUUUGGUUACUCAAACUAAAGAAAAAAAGAUAAAUAUAUAUAUAAAAGAUACGGAUGUGUGCAAAAUGAACACACUUUUACAAAGUGUAGCAUGUGUAUAACAACUUGAACUAAAAGGCCAACAUGAGUCAAUCAAGAGUCUUUCAUAAGCCUAUUUCAACAUCGUUUUUUAAAAAAUUUGGGCAAUACGUCGUAGUGAAGUUUUCAUCUUUCUAAGCUUGGAUCCGAAAACAAUGAACGUAUGACUGUUACCAAGAAUAUCGCGAUCAUACGAGUAGCCAUAUAGCGGACAAUAGUUCCGUACAUGCUUGAGAUGGGACGAGCAACCUAAGUUUCUAGAAAAAUAAGCAUUACACAUCAAUAUGCAGUGUAGCUGCAAUAACCGAAAAUAAUGCAAAGGUAAAGGCCAAACAAAUGUAAAACUGAUUUCUAUUACUUCCGAUGUUUCACGAAAUUUUUUAAAUUGGAGUGGUAGUUGUUUUAUUACUAUUGUUCAUUCCUCAAUCAUUUGAAAAUGCUUUACAACUCAAAGCAACAAAGUGAAGUCGUAACAAGGCAUCAAAGCAAAUACAUCAAUAUUUUAUUCUUACUCAUGAAACAUCCCACAAAUUUGUUAGCCCUAGUGAAGUUCAAUUCUCAAUUUAAGAUAGCGAAGAAGGAGGUGGGACAGAAGUUACAAUUAUACAAUGAUUAAAUACUCGAUCAGCCCUAGCUUGAAUGGCAGUUCUAUUCCCGAUGUGUUCAUAAGUAAAGGUGCUAUUCACGAAAACAUUAUGGCACGAUCUUCCCAGCGCCACGAGGGCCCGGCAACUAAAGUCACCGAUUUUCUUCCCUUUGAAAAUAUAGUUGUACACGUCGAAUGCGUACUUUAUGCUGAAAUGUUUUUUGCACUCAACCACUGCCGGCGAGUCAUCCAAAUGCGCCAAUGUUGGAAGUGCGCAAUUCACAAAAAGCAAAAUGACCAUAAUUGGAAACAUGUUUAGUCCGGCCAUAAUGAUGCAAAUAAUGAGUAACUUUUGAUUUUCUUAGAAAAUGAUCCCUUAGAUGCAGUUGAACUUUGGUGCAAGGAGUUAUAUACUUAUAAAGGAUGAGGCAAAGGUGAGAGUCAUUUGUAAAAUGAAAAACGCAUUUUCCUUUAAAACUACUUUAGGAACGUAUUUACUGAUGUGAGAUAUCAAAUACGAGGGUUUCUAAUUUGGUAUUUAUUUUUGUACCAUAAAUGCAACUUACAAGUUCCCUUAAAAUGUUUAAUUAAUCUUAACAAUCACAUAACUAUUUAUUAUUUCGCACAAAUAUUUUUUGUCUGCAAAUUAAUUCACUGACUAGUUUAUUACAAUAGGGUUGCAAAAGCCAUGAACAAAACUUACAUGUUGUGUUAGUGACUAUUAUUGCGUGAAAAAUUAACGACAAUCUGGAAAAAGAACACGACUAGCCUUAAUUGUUCUGCAGUAAAUGAAGAAACGUAUUUAUCGAGCAUUAUUAUUCCUAUUAUAGCAAGAUGAAAAUGAAAAUAUCGUAUUGUCUAAUAAUCGAAGUAUAAAGUUUUGAAGUGUUUGAGAGAGAGUAGAUUUGUUGCUCAAUCUAAAAGAACGUCAAUGUGUUUGGAUCCACAUAUAUCUGACUGUAUGCAGCUAAUUUCUUCAACCCCAUUUGUCUCAUUUCAUCACGAACCUUAUUAGCCUCAUCCCACCGUUCGUGAGUGGUGUAUGUAUUCGAUACGAGAGCAUAAGUUCCGAUGCCUACUCCUCUACUCUUGAGGAGACCAUUUCUGAUCCUCUUAAGUAUCUUCUCAUUCCCAUGAAUUUUGCAUGCAUUAAGCAACGCUCCCCAAACAACGCCGUCUACUUCUGUUGGCAUUUCCUUCAUGAAAUUCUCUGCUUCCUCUAAGAACCCUGCUCGACCAUACAUAUCAACUAGGCAGGCGUAGUGCAGUGUUUGAGGGGCAAUCCGAUAAACAUUUUUAAUAGCAUUGAAAAUCAUUAACCCUUGAUCAACUAGACAUGCGUGACUACAUGCUGAUAACAAGCCAAGGAAGGUUACAUCAUCAAGAGGAAUCCCGUGGACUAGCAUGAGCGAAAAAAGCUGCAACGUGUGUAUACCAUAACCAUUCAUGGCCAUGCCGCUUAUGAGGGUACUCCACGAAAUGUGAUCCUUGCAAACCAGGGUUUUAAAAACCGAAACUGCCAUACCUACUUCCCCAUACUUUACAUACAUGUUUAUUAAUGCAUUUCCCAGAAUGCCAUUCAACACGAGAUCUGGCCGUGCACUUAUAUACGAAUUCACCCACUGGCCUAAACUCAAUGCCCCAAUCGAAGAACACGCUGACAAUACAUUUACAAUGGUAUCCUUAUUAGGCUCAACUUCCUCUCCCUGAACCAUCUCCUGAAAAAGCUUCACUGCCUCGUCACAAAAUCCUCUUUGUGCAUAACCACCCACCUAGUCCAAGAAUACACAUCUCUCUUGAGCAUAUUUACAAACAGGUACCGUGCACUCACCAAAGACCCACAUCUCAUGUAAAAAUCCAACACUGCAUUGUCCAAAAUAACAUUCCUUUCAGAUAACUUCCUCAUACAAUAUCCAUGAACAGAUUUACCAAACUUUAAAGCUCCUAAACUCGAACAAGCGGACAUGACAAUGACAAGAGUAGUAGAAUUAGGCGGCACAUCCAUGCACAUAAACUUAACAAUUGCUUCCUCCACAAAUCUACACUUGUUAAGACCCGAAAUCAUCGAAGUCCACGAAACAACAUCAAGGUUUGGUAUGGAAUCGAAAACCCGGGUAGCAGAUACAAUGUCAGCUUGGGUUACGUAGAAGUGAAGCAACGAGUUUUGGAUGAAGGUAUCGGAAAAGUGCCCGGUUUUUACGACGCGGGCAUGGACUUCCCGGCCCUUGUUGUUAUCAUGGAGGAAGCAACAUGCCUUGAGAGCGUAAGUGAAGGUGUAGUGGUUGUGGGAGGUUGGGUAGUAGAGCAUUUGGUUGUAGAGGAAAAGGGCAGUUUGUGGGGCGAGGGAGUUUGUGAGAUGUCCCAGUUGUUCGUGACUAGAAUUUCUGUUGGGGAUGUUUCCUAGCCGACGAGCACACAGCUCCCCGAGAGGUUGGCGCCGGUUGAUGUUUUAUGUCGGGCUUCUGCUUCAUUGGCGGGCUUGUCGGGCAUAGCUUAUCAGGCAAGGCUGAAAGAGAAUGACAGAGUUAACUUUGAAAGGUGCUCACAAUCAAGAUUAACUUUUAAGUGCUCAGGCGUGCCACUGCCAUCUUCAGCAUGGCAGAUGUAAAACGGAUGUUGAGUUUUAGUUGUAUAUAUACCCGAGAAACUGUUUUAGUUAUGAAAAAUGCCUUUAUGGGGUCUUAGGUGUAGGCCUUGAGGCUUCCAAUCAAGAACUAACACAGUACUUGAAUAUAUAAUGUUUUGUUUCAUUGAUUACAGAAGUAUUAUGAUUAUUAUACUUCUGAUUACCCGAGCCCAACAAGCAGAAAGAAUCCAAAUAGGUGCCUUUGUAGGGCCUUAGGUGUAGGCCUUAAGGCUUCCCAUCAGAAUUCCUUCUAUUCUCAAACGUUAUUCGAUAAUCAUAAUAUAAUAGAAAUAACACUAAAGGAUAGGUCGAUUACUUGCGCCCCAAGUAACUUCGGACUUCUUGUUUAUCAAAGACUGUCGUGGAUGGGUUAAGUCCACAUAAGGUUCUUUUUUAUGCCUUGAGACCAAGGACUUUUAAAUGAUCAAUCUUACAUGCCCGAGGGCUUAGAACUUAGAUCUGAUUUAAUCUGUGAAGACAUAUUUAAAUCGGAUUCAAGAACUGAGGAGCCUUUUUAAUCAUCAACUUGCCAGAAAUAACUUGGAUACAACUGGAAGUAUACAACAUAUUGCUAAACUACUGAAUGAAAAGACAAAAAUAAAGAAGGUCGGGCAAGGCUGAUCAUCUUGCAACUUCCUAUCUUUGUGGUUUAUCAAGGAGUUUGAGAGCUUUAGAAAGAGGGGUAGGGAGAUGGGUUUACCGAAGGAAAUCGAUACUACAGCAAGUUUUAGACAAGGUAGCAGAGCUAUUACAAAGGCUUUGGGUGAGGGUUGAUCCCGAAAGGGAUGAAGGCUUGGGCUGACUACAGCUUCGUUGAAAGCAAAUCUGGUUUGAGCAGAGUUUGUGCUUGUAUUUGUUUGUUUGAUUGAGUGUCCUUAUCUCUGAUUUCUCUUUCUUCUUUUAUAGACACUUUGGCUUGGCCUCCUGUAGCAGUGAUCUUGCCCGAAUGCAACUUGAAGGGCAAUGACUCAUCAGCUUUUUACUUGUACUGCCACUGUAAAGUGCUUUUGGGCUGAUUAGCUGGCUGGUCUACACCACUUGACCUCUAAGUAUGUGAGCAAGUGGUUCAAAUGGUCUGCACCUAGUCAGAAAAGGGUCUCUCCUGCUUUCUGGGCUUUGGCUGGGCUUCGGGCUUUUCUCCUUCUAGACUUCUUUCUUUUGGGCCAACUCCUUCUUGAGCCCAAAGUUCAAGUUUUAACCCAAACACCAGUAGAGGGUUUAAAAGUUAGGGUUUAGGGUUUUUGAUGAUUUGCUUUAAUUGUCGUUUCAUUGUACAUUUUGACGAAAAUGUAUACACAGUAGGUGUUGGAAUUGCUGGGCAUUCAUCUUUUUCUUGAAGAGAAAUCGGACAUCUAAAACAAUUAUGGGCAGCAGAAGGGUGGGAAUUGGGGUUGCGUAGAGGAAGGGAGGCGGAGGUAGGAGGGGGAUCCGUAUGUCGGGGUUGGUACAUGCGAUAUGGGGUGGGUACAGGGCUGUUCCAAAUAUUCUUAAUACUAAACAGGGUGGGGCGGGGCAGGUCCAAAUAUAUGAGCAAAAGGGUGCCCGACCUAGACCUUUUCCACCAGUCUAAUAUAUGAGAUUAAAUCUCUACCCUUGGUUCUAAUCUAAAGGGCAAACACUCUUGACUCUCUGUUUGUUCCUCCUUAGUUCAUUCUCUCGAACUUGAAGCUUCAACUGACUUCGACUCUCGGUUUCUCACUCAGACACAAAUUCACAGAAUGUCGUCAAUCGAUCAUCGAACUCCGUCCUUUCGUUCGAGCAAUAAGGGGGACAAGGAUUGUCUGCCCUCUUUGUUCCCGUGCCCUCUUGUUUUAUGUGGUCACGGUUAAGUCAUUUCAACAUUUUAUAUUGUUUUUUUAUAAAGAUAAUAAGAUAAAAAUGACUAGUAAUAUAAAAUGUUGACGUGGCUUAACCGUGACCACACAAACAGGAUGGCAUGAGAGGGCACGGGAACAAGGAGGGCAGACAAUCUUUGUCCUUGUUAGUAUUGUCCUUGUUCUGUGGGUUUUCAAAUUCCAUUUAAAUUUAUUGACUCUGAUUAGGAUUGGGAGUCUUUAAUCCCAACCCUCUGCGCCAAACAUAGAUCUUGAUCAAAUUUCCCAAUUGGAUUAGACUAUUUCCUUAAUUGUAUAUUGAAUCAACACUUUUUAAACAUGAAAAUGAGAGACAAAAGUUAAUACAUGUGAAAUAUAACAUCAUUACCUUCUUUCUUUUUUUUCUCUGGAGUGUAUGUUACAAAAUUACCCUUUAUAGUAGAAACGUUUUUUCACACUGUUAUCUCUUCAUCUAUUACUCUGUGUCAAGUGGUGUUCCCUACCAAUAGACUUUUGACAUCUAAAUCUUCUUUUAUCCCUUUUUAAUCAAAUAAAUUCUUAAAAGCUGGAAGUCCAAUAGUCAAACAAAAACUAAGGGAUGUGAACUUCCCCAUCAAGCACUUCUGCAACUUGCUUUCGAAUUCCAUCAUAUUUCCUACUCGAUUUCGAAUUCAAUCUUGUUUGCCCAACACUUACCCUCCACUUUUGAAUUGAAAACCGUAGUCUAAAAAGAGAGUAAAAAAUAACGAAAGUUAACUUCUAAAUCCCAAAGCACGCCGUGCCCAAACCCGAUUAUCUCUCUUUCUCAUGUUUUCAUUUUCUGGGUGUUGGUAAAUUUUGUGAUGAUUUCUAAAUUAGUGAAAAGAUUUACAGAAUGAGUAAUUGGUAAUGGCGGUAAGAGUUGACGGUGGAAGUACAACUACGUUAAAUUAAUUGGUUUUCCGUCGACGAUUCAGCAUCUCAAUUUUUAAGAAUUAAAGAUAUAAAAGAAUAUUUAGAUGUCAAAUUUCAAUUGGUGGGAACACCACCUGGCUUUUGUGCCGGGAACCCCAAAAUAUUUCUCCACAGUGAGCUCGCGUUUCUACCUUCAGUUGAAUCGAUAUUAAUGUUAUUGAUAAAUGGUUUUGGUUUGGGGUGCUAUUUAGGCAAUAAGCAUUGCUAAGAGAUCCAAUAAAUGGUGUGGGUUUAUAGUCAUAAUUUUAAAGAAACUUUGGUUGAACUGAUUCUGCAAAAAUUGUCGUAGACAAGUUGAAAUAAUUCUACAAAAAUGGUCAAUGAUGGGUUGAACUGAUUCUGCAAAAAUGGUUGAGACUUAUUGAACUGAUUCUGCAAAAAAUGGUCGAUGACAGGUUGAACGGAUUCUGAAAAAUGUUCGAGGACGGGUUGAACUAAUUCUGCAAUAAUUAUCGAAGACGGGUUGAACUGAUUCUGCAAAAAUGGUCAAGGAUGAGUUGAACUGAUUCUGCAAUAUGGUGGGUUUAAUUUAUUCUACAAAAAUGACCGAGGACUGAUUGAACUGAUUCUGCAAAAAUGGUCGAUGACUGAUUAAACUGAUUCUGCAAAAAAAUGUCGAGAACCGGUUGAACUAAUUCCACAAAAAUGGUCGAACGGGUUGAACUGAUUUUGCAAAAAGGUGGAUUGAAUUGAUUAUGCAAAAAGGAUCGAUGAGUGAUUGAACUGAUUCUGCAAAAAAGGUCGGGGACGUGUUGAACUGAUUAUGCAAAAAUAGUCAAAGACGGGUUGAACUAAUUUUGUGAAAAUGGUCGAAGACUGAUUGAAUUGAUUAUGCAGAAAUAAUCGAGGAUGGGUUGAGCUUAUGGUACAUAUUAAUUUUGUUGGAGUUGUGAAGGUUGGUUUCUAUAACAGCCCUAAAGCCUUAGGGGUAUAACUGGUAUUUUAGAACAUUGUUUCCAUGUUUUUAGGCUGGACUUUAGUUGUUUUUAUGUUUUUGUCUCUCAUUGACAUGUUUAAAAACUAGUGGAGUUCCUUGAAAUAUAGUGAAUUUUUUUGUCUCUAUAUAUAAAGCUCCUAGUCCUUGGUGUUUUACCAACCAAUCACCCAGCUACCCUAUACUUGACAUAAAAAAAAGGGAAAUACCUCAAAAUAGGACAAUUUCAUAAUCUUGGAACAGAAAUAUGAUUUUUUUGAAUGUGCAUACAGCAUGCACACGCUAGGUCUGGCAAACAGGUCGGGUUUGUCCUGUCGUGUUUGUGUAAAACUUGUUAUCUUGACAAAUCAUGUCGUCUUACACCCAUUAUCUUAACGUGUUAUUAACACGUCGAGUCACUUUACCCAACAAGUAAAUUGACCCGACCUGUUAUGACCGGUUAAGAAAAAUAAUUUUUUUCCUUAAAUUUGCACAUACCAAAUUCCCACAUAAAUAUUACUUCAAAGCAUAAAAGCACAUUUAUCGUUAAGUACUACAUCUACACUCCAAAAUAAGAGCUUAAUAAAAAGGCACCAAUACACUACUAGUCUAAUACAAAAUAUCAAAUGUGCAACGAUAUGCAAAAUGAAUGAGUUUUUCUUUUCAAAGUUGCGAAGCCUUUCUCAAAAGUUAAAACCUUACCAAUGAAACUCAAAGCUUGCAUGUUAUUCAUUUUACAAAAUCCUUCAAUUUCAUCAAUCACCAUGGGGAAAUUGUAUUGGAACUUUGGCUUGAUCUAUUGCCUUCAAGAGUUACAUUGAUAAUGUUUUCAGUAAAGUUUUCCACAUCAAAACUCUCUUUCUCAUAAACUAAGUAUAGAAAAACCAAACAUUAUAAACCAUUCAAAUUAUGAGAAUUUUACCAAAAUAAUUAUGAAAAGAAAUAAAACAAUAAUACUAUACCAUAUAAAAAUAUAUUACCUCAUUCUUUCAAAAUUUUCUAAAAUUUAAUUUAAUAUAUAAAUAAAUAUAAAUAUAUAUAUAUAUAUUAUAAUAGUAUAUUUUUCUCUGUUCAUCUGAUUUAUAAGGAGUUAGUUAUAUUAGGGUUUAACUUUAUUCUUCAGUGUGUCAUAUGUAUUGGAUGAAUAUGGUUUUCGUAUGCACCCGUAAUUUGCAGUGUGGUUUAUCUAAUAUUUUCAAUGCCAACAAAAGGGUUCCACUUCGUUAGACGCGGAAACGAACACAAGAGGCACGUUUGAAUUGAUCUCUUCCCUCCUACUAUCUACAUAUUUAUCUCUCUCUUUUCUUUUUCGUUUGAAAGAUGUAUAUAAUUCAAGUGGUAGAUUAAUCCGAUAACUUACUAUUAUUCUUUUCAUCGUUUUUUUAUUGUUUCAAACUGAAAACCGAUACGGUGAAGAAAUUUUGAUUUUCAACUGCAGUUUUGUAUCCAAAAUUCCAAAAAUGGUGAAUCCAAUAUUGGCCAAGAUGAUCAAACUUGCUGGCCAAGUCACAAAGGGUUUGGACAAGGGCUUUAAGAACUACCAGCACUACAAUAUUAGUUUUAGGUGACAAAUGAUGGUGGUGGAUAUUAGAAAAAUCAUGUCGGAUAAAUUAUAUCCGACACAUCAUUUAAUUAGUGAUGGAUAUUAGAAAAAUAAUGUCGGUUAUAACCAACAGUAUUUUUGAAUCCUUUUUUAAAAAUAUUUUUGACAUAUUCUGUCGGUUUUUAAGUUAAUGGUGGCAGUUAUAACCGACAGAAAUUGACUAUUUUAUUAUUUUACUUUCUGGCGGUUAUUAUUUUAGUAUUCUGGAGGUUAUAACUGACAGAAAUUAAAAUUUUAUUAUUUUAAAAUGUUAUAUUAAUUAAAAAUAAAUAAAUAAACACGUAUUUUAAAUAUUGUUUUUGUCACUCAUGACCCUAAAGUCUAAUGAACCAAUUUCCCAAGAGCCAUAAAUUUUCUGAGAGAAUAAUAACAACAGACUACAAUCUGAAGCUCUAUCAUUUUUGUAAUAAGGAUUAUGCUCCCUCACAAGCAAGCAACAAGAUACAAAGAAAUUCAAACAAUUUUUUUCAAUGCGUCACAAAGCACAUUGUCUGGCACAUAAACACACAUGAACAUUUGGUGUACUCUAUCAUGUCUGAUUUUAUUAUUUUAAAAUGUUAUACUGAUUAAAAAUAAAUAAAUAAACAUAUGUUUUAAAUAUUUGUUUUUCACUCAUGGUCCUAUCGGAUAAACCGACACAAACAAAGCAAAAUUUUGGACAGCCACCAGAAUAAUCUCUGAAUGUUUUUUUUUUUUUUUUUGCGAUUUUUUACACAUGCUAUCUCCGAGUAUAUACAAACAUAUUUGAUGGUUGAAUCGUUGAAACUAGUUUCGUAGAAUGCAUAUCAUAUCAAAUUGAUAGAUUUAACAAACACUUAAGAGUUAAUGUUAUACUUCCAUUUAAUGUUAUACUUCCAUUAAGUAUAAAAUUAUUGUAAAUAUUUUAAAUUGAAGAUCGAAUUCAUUCAUUGCACUCUUAUAUGGUCGAAGAGUGUAGCUGUAAAAAAUCAUCAAAAUUGGAGCUAAAAUAACCGUUAAAUUGUGAUUUUUCGUUUAUAACCAUCGAAAACUUUUGUUCCGUAACCUAAUCUCUGAAUGUUGUUUUUUGUGAUUUUUUACGUAUGCAAUCUCGGAGUGUGUAUAAACAAGUUUGAUGGUGGAUCGUUGAAAAACGUUUCGUAGAAUGUGUAUCGUAUCAAAACAAUAUAUUAAACAAACACUUAGAGUUAAUGUUAUACUUCCCUAUCAAGUAUAAAAUAAGAUUUUGUAGUAUCCAAUGGUGUAAAUAUUUUAAAUUGAAGAUCAAAUUCAUUCAAUGCAUUCUUAUAGGGACGAGGAGUGUAGCUGUAAAAAAUCAUCAAAAUCGGAGCUAAAGUAACCGUUAAAUUGUGAUUUUUUAUUUAUAACUGUUGAAAACUUUUGUUUUGUUACCUAAUCUCUGAAUGUUUGUUUUUUGUGAUCUUUUACGUAUGCGAUAUCGGAGUGUGUACAAAUAAGUUUGACGGUUAGAUCAUUGAAAAAAGUUUAGUAGAAUGUGUAUGGCAUCAAAACGGUAGAUUAAAUAAACACUUAAGAAUUAAUGUUAUACUUCAUUUAAGUAUAAAAUAAGAUUUUGUGGUAUCCAUUAGUGUAAAUAUUUUAAAUUGAAAUCAAAUUUAUUCAUUGCAUUCUAUAGGGUCGAGGAGUGUAGCUGUAAAAAAUCAUUAAAAUCGAAGCUAAAAUAACCGUUAAAUUGUGAUUUUUCGUUUAUAACCGUCGAAAACUUUUGUUCCGUUACCUAAUCUCUGAAUGUUUAUUUAUUACGAGUUUUUACGUAUGCAAUCUUGGAGUGUGUACAAAUAAGUUUGACGGUUUGAUCGUUGAAAAAAGUUUCAUAGAAUGCAUAUCGCGUUAAAAUGGUAGAUUAAACAAACACUUAGAGUUAAUAUUAUACUUCCAUUAAGUAUAAAAUAAGAGUUCGUGGUAUCCACUAGUGUAAAUAUUUUAAAUUGAAGAUCAAAUUCGUUCAUUGCAUUCUUAUAGGGUAGAGGAGUGUAGCUAUAAAAAAAAUCAUCAAAACCGGAGCUAAAAUAACCGUUAAAUUGUGAUUUUUCAUUUAUAACCGUAAAAAACUUUUGUUCCGUUGCCUAAUCUCUUAAUGUUUUUUUUUUCUUCAAUUUUUUACGUAUGCAAUCUUAUAGUAUCUACAAACAAGUUUGAUAGUUAGAUCAUUGAAACUAGUUUCAUAGAAUGCAUAUCUCCGUUAAAUUUGCCUAAAUUUUGAAGUGAGAAAAGCAGUUUGUGCUAAAUUUUUAUUUAUGUUUUUCAAGUAUUGAUUAGACAAUAUUUAGUUUGUGUGAUGACAUUUUCAUUGUACAAUUAUCUUUUUGUUUCUUUGUUGCAUAUUUUACAUGGAUUAUUAUCUAUUAAACCAAACAAUUAUUUAUUUAAUUUUUAAAAACGUAUUCUAUAUAAAUACAUUUUAUUUAUUUAUUUAUUAAAUUAAACAACUAUUAUUUUAUUUUUUUAAAUCGUAACAAAAUUUUUGGGGGGGGGGGGAAUUUAAAAUUUUGGGGGGAUUUUUUCUUUGUUGCAUAUUUUACAUGGAUUAUUAUCUAUUAAACCAAACAAUUAUUUAUUUAAUUUUUAAAAACGUAUUCUAUAUAAAUACAGUUUAUUUAUUUAUUUAUUAAAUUAAACAAUUAUUAUUUUAUUUUUUAAAAUCGUAACAAAAUUUGGGGGGGAUUUUUGCCACCAUUUUUUUCUGUCGGUUUAUACUUUAAAAAAUGUUCUGUCGGUUUUCACCGACAAUAAUGAAAUCCAAGGGAUCCAAAUGGGCUCGUCUUCUAACACGUGACCUCAUUUUGGCUAACAAGCAUCCAAACGCCAAAUUCUCUUUCCCUGCUAUCAUAGCUCCCGACUGAGCAAGCAACCAUGGACGUUCUCUCAAUCUCAUCACCUACAUUCAUCCCCACCCCAACCUCCAAGCUCUCUCACUCCUCCCGCCCUAAACCCACCUCAUAUUUUCCCACUUCUUGUUGAAAAGUCAAUGAUAUCAAGAUGCCUGAUAUUUUGGUUUAGAAUAGGAAACAAAGUCUGUAAUUGAUUUGUACAAAAUCUUCCUUUUUUGUAUAGCUUGAUUGUAGGCUAGGCUAAUUCUCUUCCAAGAGAAUGAGUCUGUAUAAAUGGCCUUUUGUAUCUUUGUUGAAUAUUAAUUGAAUUUCAGCCGAAUAUAUUUUUACAUGGUAUCAAGAGCUAGGCCAAAACCCUAGUUCUAUUUUCUUCUGCUGUUAUUUCUCUUUGCCGCUGUUCAUCACAAGCAACGUGUUUUUUUAUUUCCAUUGAUAUUAGCAAUGGCCGAUGAUCGAACUUCGAGCGAAAGCAAGCCUGAUGCUUCCAAUCCACUGUUCAUUCAUCAUUCAGACCACCCAGCUAUGGUGCUGGUCUCGAAACCCCUUAAUGGGGACAACUAUUCCACCUGGUCCUGAGCCAUGAAGAUUUCCUUGAGUGCUAAAACCAAGAUUGGUUUUGUUGAUGGCACUGUUCCACAACCGUCAGCAAAAACCCAGCCGAACAAUCAUGCUGCAUGGAAGAGAUGCAACGACAUGAUUGUUGCCUGGAUCAUCAACUCAAUCGAUUCAGAUAUUUCAGACAGCAUUCUCUACAUGACUAGCGCUCAUGAGAUUUGGGACGAAUUGGAAGAGCGCUACUCCCAAAGUAAUGCCCCUCGGAUUUUUCAAUUGCAACGGGAUAUUUCGUGUCUUUCUCAAGAUCAACUCUCUAUUGUAGCCUAUUAUACCAAGUUGAAGAGUCUGUGGGACGAGUUGUCUUUUUACAGUGAUUCAUCCUCAUGCACAUGCGGUGCUCAAAAUUAAAGGAACAGGUUGAUGCAGUUCCUUAUGGGACUCAAUUAUUCAUAUAGUGUUGUUCGAGGACAAAUCCUCUUGAUGAAUCCCUUGCCUACUGUACGUCAAGCUUACUCCUCAAUCUCACAAGAAGAGAAACAACGCUCUUUGAGCCUUUCUCGCACCACCACUGCAACAGCAGCCAUGGCAGUUCGCCAGGGCCACCAUUCCAAGUCCUCAGGUUCUUCCACUCGCAAACCCAUGCAUUGUAUACAUUGCGAUCAAGAUUACCACACUAUUGAUACUUGCUAUCAGUUGCAUGGGUACCCACCUGGGCAUCGUCUUCAUAAAACCAACAAAUUCAAUCCACGUGGUGGGAAUCGCCCCAAGCGAGACACCGGCUCUUCGUCAGCCAACAUAGUUUCCUCAGAAGGACCUUCUGUGCAAGAAAUGCAGUCCGUGAUGUCAGGUUUAUCAGAUUCUCAAUUUCAACAAAUUCUCAGUAUCAUGAAUGGGAAAGAUAUAUUCGCUGCCCCUCAAGCCAAUGCUACCAACCCUACCAAAGGUUUGUCAAAAAAUCCUUCACAUCUCCAUCGAUGGAUUAUCGAUAAUGGUGCGACGGACCAUAUCACCUCCUCACCGAAACUGCUCACUAAUAGUGUGAAAAAUGAUCAUAUGCUGCCAGUUUUAUUGCCAAGUGGAGAACAAGCACCUAUUGCAUUAACUGGAGAUUUACCUUUGAAUUCUACCUUUUUACUACGAGAUGUGUUGUGUAUGCCUACUUUUAAUGUAGAUUUGAUGUCAGUGAGUCGAAUUACUGGAGGAUUAAAUUGUUCCGUCACCUUUUUUCCCACUUGGUGUAUUUUGCAGGACCUGACCACGAAGAGAACGAUUGGUUUAGGUAAGCAACGAGGAGGACUUUACUAUUUGGUGGUGUUGGCUCCUGUCCAAGAUGGCACUUCGAGACGUUUCUGCAACAUGGUCCUAUCACCUACAGAGUUGUGGCAUCGCCGUUUAGGUCAUUUGUCAUCAUCUAGAUUAGAUUUCAUGUCCAAAACUAUGUUACAUUUUCCUUUUCAGUCUAAUAAUGCUUGCGAUGUUUGUCCAUUAGCCAAGCAAAGUCGUUUACCUUUUGGUGUUAGUACCAUUGCAACCCAGAAACCUUUUGCUUUAAUUCAUUGUGAUAUUUGGGGUCCUUAUAAAAUUGCCUCCACUUGUGGAGCCAAAUAUUUUUUGACCAUAGUAGAUGAUUAUUCUCGUUUCACAUAGAUCUUUCUUAUGCACCACAAAAAUGAGACUCAACACCUCCUUAAGAAUUUUUUCUCUUAUGUUCGUACUCAAUUUGAUACACUUGUUUGUCAAAUCCGUGUCGACAAUGGAGGUGAUUUUUUCUCCCUUCGUGAUUUUUUCCAAGAACACGGUGUCGUAUACCAACACUCUUGCGUUUAUACGCCCCAACAAAAUGGGGUUGUAGAACGCAAGCAUCGUCACAUCCUUGAAACAGCCCGUAGUUUGCGUUUCCAAGCCAACCUACCACUUCAUUUUUGGGGUGAAUGUGUGCUCACGGCCGUUCACCUUAUUAAUCGUCUCCCUACCAAAAUUCUUUCCAACACUACACCUUUUGAACGUCUCUAUUCCAAAUCACCUACCUAUUCCCACUUACGAGUCUUUGGAUGUCUUGCCUAUGCCACAAAUACUCACAUUUCUCAUAAGUUUGCUCCCCGUGCUCAUAAGUGUGUUUUUCUAGGGUAUCCAGUUGGUCAAAAGGCCUAUAAGCUCUACGACCUCACCACCCAUAAGUUUUUUACCAGUCGUGAUGUCAUUUUCCAAGAGCAUAUUUUUCCUUACCAACAUCACUCCAUAUCCGAUGACCAACUUCCCCUUCCCGGACCUGUCUUACCUCAACCCCUUCCUGACUACACUGUUCUCUCUGCGUCCCCUUCCGCACCCACAUUUCCUCCCGUGUCACCUGUUGAGUCUUCUCCUUAUCCACCUCCCGCAUCCAAUGCUCCACCUCUCUCUGUCCCUGCUACUGCCAUAACAGCGCUCCCAGCGCCCGUGCCCCCAGAAUCUUCCAUGCCCGUGCUUCGCCGCUCUGACCGUCGCUCAGCUCCUCCAACUCGCUUCAGUGAUUAUGUUUGCCCUACUUUGCCUUCUACCCAACCAAUCGAUUCGUCCUCUUCGUCUACAGGUCCUACCACUGGUACAAGGUAUCCUCUUGCUAAUUUUCUCACUUAUCAUCGCUUCUCACCCCAACAACAAUCUUUCCUUGCUUCUAUCAAUCAGCAGGUCGAACCUCACACUUAUGCUCAGGCUGCCCUUCAUCCCCAUUGGCAAGGUGCCAUGGACUCUGAAUUGCAUGCUUUGGAGGCCACUAAUACUUGGACACUCACUACUCUCCAUGCCAGCAAAACUCCCAUUGGUUGUCGUUGGGUGUAUAAGAUCAAACAUCGUUCUGAUGGUUCUAUUGAACGUUAUAAAGCUCACCUCGUCGCCAAGGGUUACACUCAACUUGAAGGUGUUGAUUAUCACGAUACCUUCUCCCCUACUGCUAAGAUGGUCACUGUUCGUUGUUUAUUAGCCCUCGCUGCUGCCCGCGACUGGUCUCUUCACCAACUUGAUGUCCACAACGCUUUUCUUCAUGGUGAUCUUCAUGAAGAACUCUACAUGACCCUUCCUCCUGGUCUUCGGCGACAGGGGGAGAAUCUCGUGUGUCGCCUUAAUAAAUCCCUCUAUGGCUUGAAGCAAGCUUCCCGGCAAUGGUUUGCAAAGUUUUCAGAAGCAAUUAAAUCCGCUGGUUAUAUUCAAUCAAAGGCAAAUUAUUCUCUAUUUACGAGGCAGCAAGGGCAAUCCUUUAUAGCCCUCCUUGAUCUAUGUUGACGAUAUCUUGAUCACCAGCAAUGAUCCUGAAGGAAUUAAUGCUCUUAAAAAAGUUUCUUCAUGGUCACUUCAAAAUCAAGGAUCUCGGUAACUUGAAGUACUUUCUGGGAAUAGAGGUUUCACAGUCAAAGAAAGGGAUCUUUAUUUCUCAGCGAAAAUAUGCUUUAGAAAUUUUGAAAGAUAGUGGCCUUUUGGGAGCUCGCCCAGUAGAGUUUCCUAUGGAGCAGAAUGUUAAACUUUCUAACACUGGUGAGUUGCUUAAAGAUCCGGCAAAGUAUAGAAGGUUGGUUGGUUGAUUGAUCUAUUUAACUAUUACAAGGCCGGACAUCACUUAUCCCGUGCAUGUGUUAAGUCGAUUCAUGCAUGAACCAUGACAACCGCACAUGGAAGCAGCCCUCCGAAUUCUGAAAUACUUGAAGAGUACGCCUGGACAAGGUUUUUUUUCUCUUCUCAAAACAACUUGAACUUAAGUGCAUAUUGUGAUUCAGAUUGGGCGGGAUGUCCUACGACACGAAGGUCAACUACAAGUUACUGCUUUUUUUUGGGCUCUUCGUUGAUCUCUUGGAGGUCAAAAAGACAAAAGACCAUUUCUUUAUCAUCAGCAGAGGCUGAAUAUAGAGCCAUGACUGGAACUUGUUGUGAACUGUCAUGGCUUCGAUAUCUUCUGAGGGAUUUAGGUUUGCUUCACCCAAAACCGGUCUUGCUACAUUGUGACAACAAAGCGGCGCUCCAUAUAGCUGCUAAUCCAGUUUUUCAUGAACGAACUAGACAUAUAGAGAUUGAUUGUCAUUUUAUUCGAGACAAGAUACAAGAUGGUUCAGUCGUCACAAGGUACAUUCCUUCUUCAAACCAGCUUGCAGAUGUGUUCACAAAGGCAUUAGGAAAUGAGGCUUUCUCAUCCAUCAUACGCAAGUUGGGAGUUCUCGAUGUACACUCUCCAACUUGAGGGGGAGUGUUGAAAAGUCAAUGAUAUCAAGAUGCCUGAUAUCUUGGUUUAGAAUAGGAAACAAAGUCUGUAAUUGAUUUGUACAAAAUCUUCCUUUUUUGUAUAGCUUGAUUGUAGGCUAGGUUAAUUCUCUUCCAAGAGAAUGAGUAUGUAUAAAUGGCCUUUGUAUCUUUGUUGAAUAUUAAUUGAAUUUCAGCCGAAUAUAUUUUUACACUUCUUCCCCCAAAACCCCCUCAAUCAAAUCUCUUUCCCUCCAAACCCCAAAACCCACUUUCGCCUCCAGGUCCCAGGCCCUCGACUCCUCGCUCCUGAUUUCCUCAGCCCCUCAAUCAAAUUUUCCAACAUAAUACCCAUUUGUCUCUUACUUGCACCGGUGCCUUCUUCCUUCCCCCUUUUCUCCUCUCCUCAUUUCCUUCUCCUUCUCUUCUCUCCUCAUUUACUUCCAGUCCAACACUUGCAACUAAGAGCCUCUGGGAAAGGACAAGGUGAAAUAAUUCAUUCACUUUUUAAAUUCUGGGUUUUAUUUUUAAGCCACGAUUCAUUUCCAAUUAUUGUGUUUUAGUUUUACCUUGUUUCUGAUCUUGUGGUGAUUUUUGAAGUUGGGUUUUUGUGCAAUUAUUGGCUUAACUGAUCACCAUUACUGCUCUUAAUCAUUGGCUUAAUUUGUUUGAUUCUUCACGUAAUCACUGUCCUGUUUUGUUCUGUCAACAGAAAUUGCAUAAUAUGUUCUGUGAUCUGCACUUCAGAUACCAUAACAUCACCGCUCCAAUUUCUUUCAGUCUCUCCAUUCUAAGAACAGAUGCAGUGUUCCUUUGCUCCUGAUGAACACACCAACGACACGUGAAGAUGCUAAGAAGUUAUGCUGAUUGCGAGAUGCUCUGUAAGGAGAGGGUCUUGAUUUUGUAUAUUUUGGCUUUAAGGGGUCUGUUCUCGUUCGUAGUAAUCUCGAUUUCGAUGACGGAAUUGGUUGGGCCAAGGUUGUACAGCUGCUGCAAUUGCCGAAACCAUGUUGCCCUUCACGACGAUGUCAUUUCGAAAGCCUUUCAGGUGAACAUAGGUUGAGUAUGGAAACAUAGGUUGAAUAUGGAAAAUGCAGUGAAUGGAGGGGAGGGGAAAGAAAUGAUUGAAAGUGGUUUAUAUUUUUUUAUUAUUAAUAUAUUUUCUGUCGGUUUUAUUCGACAAGAAUGCUUUUAUUUAUUCAUUAUUAAUAAAUUUUCUGUCGGUUAUAUCUGACACAAGUUCUGUCGAUUUUAGUAUUUUCUGUUGGUUUUAUCCGACAGAGAGUGCUCUUAUUUAUUCAUUAUUAAUAUAUUUUCUAUCAGUUAUAUCCGACACAAUUCUGUCGGUUUUAGAAUAUUUUCUGUUGGAAAAUUCAUUUCCUAAUGCUAACAAUUCUAUUACUUAUUAUAUCCGUCAUUGCAUCCAUUUUCUGUCGGAUUUUGAAUAGCGACACUAAUAAAUGGUUUUGUAGUGGUGAGGCAGAGAAGAAGUGGAUCCUCGAGAUCAAAUCCAAGUCUCAAAAGUUGGCGGGGCUUCUCCGCCAACUCCGCAGUUCCCGCCUCUCCGGCCCUGAUAUCUUCGACCGCCCCAUACGGUACAUCCUCGAGCUGGUCGAACUAAUCCUCAACGAUUUCAAUCCAGGCUGAUGAAGAACUCUUAUGCUCACAUCAUCAUCAAAAUCAUCAACCAUUUCAACAUCACGUGUUUCGUGCCCCACGGCAUCAACCCUUUAAGGCUCAGGGAUAUGUUGAUGCAGCUCGAAAAUGUAAUUGGCGACGUGUCGUGGCUGACCAUCCUGCUUAGUUCUGUGAAUAGUGAGGACAUGGACUGGUCUCAGCUUAACCAUGUAUCACGUGAGCCACUUCUGUUCCUGAUUUGGGAAAAAAAUUGCUCUCCUUGCUGACACGCGUAAUUCGUUCCAAGUUCGAUCAGAAGCAGCAGCUACACUUGGUGAGAUAUCUCGGCACGAUUGCGAACAUAGCAUCAUUGAAGAAGAGGGAGUUGAACCCUUGUUGAAAUUCGUGGGAGAGGGUCCAAUCGAAAGCCAAGAGAAUGCUGUCCGGACUCUGGGGUCACCCGGACAUGCCUGGGAAAGCGUCGAACGCGUGAUCCUUGCUGAUGCAUGCAAAGUGUGUGCAAUAAUCCUCCGAGAAGGUCCGAUGAAAGUUCAGGCUGCCGUGACUUGGGCGGUGUCAGAGAUCGCAGCUAGACACCCCAAAUGCCGUGAUGUUUUCGUCCGGCAUGAUGUAGUCUACUGGCUCUUGAGCCAUCUAGCAUUCGAAACUGUUGAAGUAGAUAGUAACCAUGCCACGAGCAAAACCAAUAGUAAUGUCAAUGGCAAUGAAGACCCUGCCACCAAGGCUGAAAUGAAAGCUAUGGCGACCAGAGCCCUUGCCAAACUAGCCAAGGGGAACUCAGCCAUUGUUCCUAGCAUCGCAGAAUCAAGUGUCCUCUUAAUUUUAGCCGUGAACCUAGAAAAGGGUACCAAAGAUGUUCAACUGCAAUAUGGAGAUCACUGCGGUUGCUGAGGAGGAUGCUGAACUGAGAACAUCUGCCUUGUAUCGUAAUUCUCCGGCUCGGAAAUCUAUCGUUGAUCAAUUAGUAAUAAAGAUCACCGAUGAGAAGGAAGAUCCGGAGCUCCUGAUCCCGUGCAUUAAAGCUGUUGGGAAUUUAGCAACAACAUUUGAAGCAACAAACAAUUUCGUUACGAAAAAUGCUUGCAUUGCCCUCACAAAAUUUGCAUGUACUAGCAACUAUUUUCACGUUGAGGUUUCCAAGGCAAUAAUAAUUGCUGGAGCAGCUACGCAAUUGAUCCGACUUUUUUAUUUUGGGCAUUGGAAUGUUCAGCUUCAUGCCUUGGUUCUCAUAUGUUACAUUGCGAUUCAUGUGCCUGGGAGUGAAGAGCUUGCCCAGGCUAAGGUGCUCGCCGUGCUUAAAUGGGCGCCCAAGCAUCAUUAUUUUACCGACCAUGAAAAAUUGAACAAAUUAUUCUACGCUGCACUGGAUGUACCAGAAAAUGAAGUUGCUGAGGCUGAAGCUCGCGUGCAUGCCACGUAUGGAUGGGAGUUGCAACGAUCUUAUAUGACCCCAGCUGAAACACUCUACACUCUUACACAAGGCUACAAGCUUUGGAUCUUUAUCAUUCUCAAAGUUCUAAAAGACGCUAGGCGCUAGUCAGGCGGCAUUGUCUUAAACCUAAAACAAAUGUCAUAUAAUCUCUUAUGACUAAUUAGGCCUUGGUUAGAUCAUCUAGGCUACAUUCUAGGAUCUCAAGUAGUCUAUUUUCAUAAAAUGUUGAGCUAAAUUUUCAUUAUCUUCUAAUAAGACUUGAGUCAGACGUAAGACCAGAAAUACUUCAAUGCGUGACAAAUCUUCCGGGAUGUUGUAGGAUGUGAGUGUUGGUUUGAUCAGCUAUACCAUGCUGAUCGACCAACUACUCGCAUCCCACAAUAUUGAACCUAAUAUUGGAGAAAACACCUACAUAAAGGCAGGUUGUUUCUUUUCUUUUGUCAUAGGAAAUUAGAUAGACAGAGAAAAGAGAGAUAAGAUGGGCAGAAUUAAGAAUUAGUAGUGACUGAGAAUGGUAAAAAUUGUAGCUUGGUGUUCUUUUCUUUUGAGCGUCGGUAAGGAGCUUUACUUUACAAGAAACUAGGGAAGCCUUACGCACCAUUUCUAGCCUGACCAAAUUUACAAUCACAACUUUUUAACUCAAAAACAAAAAUAUUACAAUCAGAAAGCAGAUCCAAAAAAUAAAAGUAUACAAUCUGAAGAGAGAAUAUCAAAUGGGAUAUUUGACACGGAAUCAUAAUCUAUACGCGAAUGGAAUUGGACUCGAUGAAAUUUCUGUACUGGGUGAUCAAUCUUGCAAAAGCUUACACAAGAGACCUGAAACUUUCUGACCAAAAGUGAGAUUUCCGCUUGGUGAGAGUGUCUCGCGGUGCAAACCUGAGACCAAACAUCUCCUUGAAUGCUUGCUCGGGCUCUACUGAACCUACCAACUUUGCAACAAUUGUGGCACUGUCCAUGAUAUGGUCCAGGUUUUGUGUGUUACUCCACAGGAGGUUUGCCAAUUGCAACCGCCUAUGCUUCGAGUGUAGACUGAUACCCCACUUUAGGUAGAGGUUAUUUCUUUCAUCCUCAGACAGUCGCCUUCGCAUUUGCUUGCUCAGCAUGUGUCUCUCACUAGUCAAAGCCUUCAUGCUAUUUACAGAAUAAAACAUGUUUUAAGCCGACCAAUGCAGGCAAUAUGUAACAAAGUUAAAACAUAUCGUGAGUGUCUGCAACCUUCUAUUCUAGAUCGGUGAUAACGAACUUACCUUGAAGCGGGUGUUAGAGUUUGGCCAUCUUCCAGAGUCUGAUUUCCACGCGAAAAUGUGUCUUUGAGGAAGGACAAUCUCCUGACCUCAACCUCCAUGUAAAUCGAAUCACUUGGGUCACCUUUAAAUAGGAGGAAGAAGUAAGUCCUGUGAACCAAUGACACAUUGCAGGCAUCCCAAAGUUCAAUGAUCUCUCUUUGCAGCUUGUUGAAUUCUGAAGGCCACCUUGAAGGGCUUUCGUCAUCAAUGGGCAUUGGGUCCAAGCCAACAUCUUUUACAUCCUUUGGAGACGGUAUGGGCAUUGAAUCCGUCUCCGGUACCUGCAACACGAGACAAUCCAUGUUAGAACUAUAAUUAAUCAGAUUGUCUACAACUUCUCUUUUUUUUGUGAUGCAAUAUAAUCAAAAUCACUCACCACAGAAUCAGCAAGUUGAGUAUUGCAUUGUGUAUCGGUCGUUUCCUCUGCUCCUUCAACUAAAGUACUGCUUUCAGUUACCUUGUCAUCAGUUGUGCAUUUUGUAUCCUGUGCUUUACGCUCAUCAAUAGCAGCACUUCUUGCAGAAGCCUGAGAAGCAUUUCUUGAUAGCCUUUCAGUCUCAGCACCAUAGUUCAGAGAAGGAAGUUUCUUUUGGAAACCCUCGGGCCUUCCUAUAAAUUUUUUCUCAAACUCAAUAGCAGGUGUGCUCUCUCAUUCUUCUCUACCAACUCAAGCCACCAUGGAGACGAAUUAUUCAUAAGCCUUGCUUUGCAGCUUCUACUCCUCCUCAACAUCACAACAGAGGGGCAAAACAUUUCUUUCUCGGGCAGCCAUUGAGGUGUCCUUUCAGAAGAAGGAACUACAAAACCUUUUUGUUUAGGUAGGGGUGACUCCAAUUCCUGAUUUGUGCCAUCUCCAUUUUCGACUGUGGUCAGUCCUGAGGUAGCUGUGUUUGCGAAAGGAGACGACAUAUUUGAGUUUUGGUAUCUACUAGCACUUGAAUCUGAUAUAUUUGACACUAUAUAUCUGUUUGUGCCAGACUCUUCCAUUUCAAUGCAGCGAACUUCCUUGCAGAAAUCCUCUGAAUUUCCAUCAAACUGUUCUUUGCUUUCCUCUUGAUGCAGAUUACCGUCAACAAAAUUAGGAAUGCCAUCGGAUAACUGCCGGGAGGAAUCAGUGUGCAUGAAAUUCUCUUCCAAGUCAGGAAGUUGGAACAGAGUCUCCUCUGAACUAGUCCUACUGUCUCCAUCAGAAUACUGAGAGGUGCCAAAAG
RNAcentral lists this long non-coding RNA (53295 nucleotides) under Malus domestica (apple). RNAcentral's name for it is "long non-coding RNA (MDOM_LNC001469)". Lineage: Eukaryota; Viridiplantae; Streptophyta; Magnoliopsida; Rosales; Rosaceae. The record is from RNAcentral.